GAAGGGUGCGAUGUGCGGAUGGUUUUGCUUUGCUUUCUUUCUUAAAGAGAGAGAGAGAGAGAGCGCUGAUUGAGGUGGUAAUUAGAAGAAAAGUAAAUAUUUUUAUGGUUAAACAUGUGAUUUAUAACUUACUCUUUAAUAGUUAUUUUGCACCAGAGAAUUUCUGGUUCAAUUCGUACACAAAAAUAUUUAUUCGUCUUCUGGGCAGGGAGCUUUAACUGGAACACUAAAGAGAGAGGUGGUUUGGAAGUUGUCAGGGACCAUGAAAGAUUCACCAUUUCCUGUUUAGAAUAAGGACAAAAAUUAAACAUCACAAACCAAAUCGAAAAAGAAAACGCAAAAAGAGUCUUACCUUCUUUUAAGCCUUCUCCACAUCAGAUAAAGCUUGAAUUGAACAUUGUCCAGGAAUUGGAAAUAUACAUGUCUCCACGUCCUCUUGAGAAGCAAAGGGCAACAAAAUCCCAAGAACCCUACAACGAAACCAAGCGCGACGGGUAACCCAACACAUAGACUUUGAUCCUCAUCGUCGUCCAAAUCCUGGUCGUUCUCAUUCUCAUCUGCAUCAUUGCCAUUACUUGACAAGCACUGGUUUGGAAGUGGGGUGCCGCAAAGUUUUGGAUUCCCUUCGAAAGCAGAGGCAUCGAAACCUUGGAGCUGAGUGCCGGCUGGUAUUCGUCCUUCAAGAUUAUUGUACGCAACAGUAAACGUAGACAAGAAAUGGAGACUUGAUAGUGAUGAUGGGAUUUCACCUGACAGACGGUUGUUGUUGAGUUUUAAUCUCUCCAACUCUGUGAGGUUGGAUAUUUGGUCUGGAAUGUUGCCGGAGAAGUUGUUGAUGCUUAGAUCCAAUUGUUGAAGAUAUCGCAAUUGGCCAAUCUCAAAGGGUAUGCUGCCACUUAAACUGUUGUUCCUGAGGGAGAUUACUCUUGGCAUGUUGGCAACAUAUUUGUACUGUAAAUUAUUACCGGGUUUGAAGUAGACGGACAAUUCAAGAGAACAAUGGCCCGUUUGAUUCGCAGGCUUUUGCAAUACUAACGCUUGUAGUCCGCAAAGCUCCCUUGGAAAUUCACCCGAAAUCAAGUUGUCAUUCAACAACAAAAAGAAAAGACUCGGAAGAGUCCCCAACCAACCAGGUAUUGUGCCAGUGAGUCUGUUAGACGACAAAUCUAGGACUUCCAGUUUCCUGAACUUUGAAAUCCAUGCAGGUAUUUGACCUGUCAUAUGGCAGCUAUAUAAACUGAAAACACACAGAUUUUGUAACCUGAAAUCGACAGUUAUAUCUCCAUCUGGCAUUUCUUCACCUCGAAAAUUUUCUGAAAGAAGGAGCACCCUGAGACUUUUGAAACGCAUAAAUAUCUUCAUUGCCCCGUGACAUUGGCGAGUCUGUUAUGAAAAAACGAGAGGAAGGUCAAGUUUUUCAAUUGAAGAAUCUCAGGUUGGAUUUGUCCCUCGAAAUCAUUUGCACCCAGUCGAAGUGCUUUGAGGGACUUGCAUGAGUAAAUGCUUAUUGGCAAGACACCAGUGAGUGCAUUAUUUAUAAAAUCUAGCUUACUAAGAUGAGUAAGUUUAGAGAAAUCGAGCCCAGAGAUAUUCCCACUAAAACGGUUGAAUCCCAGAUUUAUUUCAACAAGGUUUGUGCAAUUCAUCAAAGAUGGGGGCAGAGGACCUUCUAGAUUGUUGUAAUGAAGGUGCAUGAGCUUUAAUUUGGAGAACUUCCCAACAUUCUCACCGAUGGGUCCGAAAAGGCUAUUAGUAGAUAAUGAAAUUUCUUGAAGGGCCUGAGCAUUGUAGAUAUCAGCAGGAAGGGACCCUGAGAGAGUGUUUUCGCGAGCACGAAAGACCUCCAAUUCGGAACAGUUUCCUAGUCCUAGAGGAAUUGAGCCACUGAAAUUAUUGUGGGAGAAAUCCAAGACUUUAAGCGAAAAGGAAAGAAGACAGAUAGAGGAUGGUAUUUGGCCUGUAAAAUGAUUAUUGCUGACAUUAAAACUGCUCAAAUUCCAGGCAUGCUGGAGGAAUGAAGAUGGAAUUGUUCCGUUAAACUGAUUGCUGGAUAAAUCCACCAUUUGGAUAUUACUUGAUGAUAGAGAUGAUGGUAGUUUUCCGGAUAAAUGGUUUUCGCUCAAAUCAAGGAUCUGAAGGCGAGUCAAGGACAAAAAAAAUUGAGCCUCAAGAGGACCGGAAAGCAUAUUGUGGGAGAGGUUGAGAUGCGAAAGAUGUGUGAGGUUUCCAAGAAAGCGAGACAUGCAACCUUUGAUACCUUUGGAGGGCAACAACAAAUGAGUUACCCUACCAAACAUAUCGCAAGUGAUGCCCUCCCAUCGGCAACAAUCGUUGGAAGACCAGUUUAAACUAGAAGUACCAAUAUCAAAUGAAGAACGAAGAGAGUGUUGAUCAAUUUUUUGGCAUGCGGGGGUUGUAGCAAAGAAACUUGAGAUGAAAAAUAUGAAGAGGAGGCCAUACGAAAUUUGAAGUGCCAUGUCUGUAUAUUUGAUUGCUCACAAGUUUGUUAUAUAUAACACACUGAUUUGUUUAGAAUUAAAGGGCUAGAAUCAACAUCGAAACAUGAAUCACGCUUUUUGGCAGAUGCAUGCAUGUGAAGAAUAUUAAGCACAUGAGUUGUACUAUGUACUUGUAUUAUUGUAUAUGAUUCAUGUUGAGAGCUGAUAGAUCCACCCCAUAAUCCUAUUUCUUCACUCACCUUAUAUUUUCAUCCCGUAUAAAGAAAUUAAAAAAUAAACACACUAUUUUCUCACCCAUUAAUAUUCCUAAAAUGUCCUUGCAUUAAUUUAACUUUUUACUAAAAAAUAAAAUAAAUAAAAACUGAGAAUAAGAAAGCCACCCUCCCACCCGAGCCUGACACCACCAAACCCAACUCGACGACAACCUCUUUCACUGCCAGCCGACCUUUUCUCUCUAUGGAAAUUUGGAGGAGAAAACAUUAACUAGCAACAACAUCCUCGAUGGAAUUGUAAUUGUUCACAGACCGACAAUGACGAUUUCAGUUGAAUUGAGUUUGAUUGAGAUGGAGAAAGAAAAAUGAUUAGGGUUGCAGAAAAAAGAGGAUGGCUGCAGUAAGAAGUCAAUUUGGUUUGGGAGUGGCUCUGGCUUGUGGUUUUGGGGGUGGGGGGAAGGGGUUGCUGGGAUAUUCCCUUUUCAUCUAAUUUUCAGUUUUGUUUGCUUCCAAUUUUAACAUUGAUUGGAUGCAUGGCUCGAGCUUGUAAUAUUCUUCUCGGAUGGGAUUGUUCAUGGCUUCUCAUAUUCUUCUCCGAUAGGAUUGUUCAUGGCUUCUCAUAUUCUUCUUCAGAAAUAAAACAUUGUUCUUUCACUUUUAUUUUUAUUUUUUUUAGCUAAAAAAACAAAUUAGGGUUCAUUUUUAUUAGGGUUUUAAAAGUCAUUUCACAAAUGGUCAAAUAUGACAUUAAAUUUAUUAUUAAAAAGUGGGUGUGAAAAGAGAGUUGAGGGGUGGGUAUAACACCACUCUUCAUGUUGCCUAGCUUAUUUGCCUACCGGCCGUUGCUAGUGAAAAACGAUUUUAGCCUUUAAGUUCCCACACUAAAUCUAAUUAGUUCCGAUGUGGUACUAGUCAUCACAUCCUCUUUGUCGGUCGUGUUGUAAUGCUGAGUUCUUUCAUGGUCAAUCACUCUCCGCAUUGCCAGUUGAUUUUGGAAUUGGAACCUCAUAUUUCUUCAGUCAUGAGGAGCUACACGACUAAGGAGUAACAUCAUGUUGCUUGGGCUUCAGAAUUGUCAACAAUACCAAGUUUUCCACAGCCACUUUGGACUAUGACUCAAAAGCACUUUCAUAAUUCACACUUGGAACAAAACGUGUUCUGAUACAUUCAUCCCCAAUUUAAAUUAUAUUUUCACUAAGUUUGAGUAUAUCUUGCUUUUAAAUUGGUUUUGGGGUCUUAAAUGGUGUGCCCAAGAAACCCACCCCCUGUUUUGUCCUCCGGUUCCUUUCCCCUUUUCUUUCUUUUUUUGAUUUUUAUAACUCUCUCUUCUCUUUCUCUCCCUCUUCUUCUUCUCUCCCUUAUCUUUCUCUCGUGCCCUCUCCCUCUACAACUCUUCAUCCCCUCUCUGAAAAUCACACCCAGAUACCAUCCCAGCCACCAAACACUAGACCUUGGACCUCGAAACCACAAGCAAAACUAGGAACUCCACCGUGACAGUCACGGUCUCCCUAGAUGAAACCGACGGUUUUCGAGCCAACUUCCGGCCAAACUAUGGUGAUUUGGCCGGCGUGCAAGGUAUCAAUCUCUUUGUCUCGCUGAGUACUAUAACUUUCCUUUUUGUUUCACCCAAUUUCGUUAAGUAUUGAAGAAGUUAUACUCAUUUGAAUCUUACCCAGUUUCCGGCGACCGUCGAGUCUUUCGACGCAAUUUCUUGCCAAACCACAGAGAGUUAGACGUCGUGCGAGGUACCAUUCUCUUCGUCUCUUCGAGAAUUACAACUUUUGUUCUUGUUUCACUUGAUUUCGUUGAGUUUUGGCAAAGUUAUGGCCGUUUAAAGGUUGUGCAGUUUCCAUCCGAUUUCUGGCUUUCUCUUCCAUUGGGUCCAGCGACCCACCAAACCCAAGGCCCUUGGGCCUUCCCUGCCGAGCCCAACCCUUUUGGUUGUGAGGCCUUUGGGCCGUGAGUGUUGUGUGUGUGUGUUGCGUGAGUGUGUUGUGUGUGUAUGUGCUGUGUGAGUGUGUGUUGUGUGUAUGUGUGUAUGUGUGUAUACGUGUACCUACAACUUUUGUUCUUGUUUCACUUGAUUUCGUUGAGUUUUGGCAAAGUUAUGGCCAUUUAAAGGUUGUGCAGUUUCCAACCGAUUUCUGGCUUUCUCUUCCAUUGGGUCCGGCGACCCACCAAACCCAAGGCCCUUGGGCCUUCCCUGCCGAGCCCAACCCUUUUGGUUGUGAGGCCUUUGGGCCGUGAGUGUUGUGUGUGUGUGAUGCGUGAGUGUGUUGUGUGUGUAUGUGCUGUGUGUAUAUGUGCUGUGUGUGUAUGUGAUGUGUGUGUGUGUGUUGUGUGAGUGUGUGUUGUGUGUAUGUGUGUAUACGUGUACCGUGUGGGUGUGUGUAUGAGUGUGUGUGGUGCACGUGUGUGUUGUGUAUUUGUGUGUGUGUGUGUGUGUGUGAGUGUGUGGUGCACGUGAGUGUGGUGUACGUGUGUGUGUGGGUUUGGGCCUAAGCCCAAACCACCCUUUUUCACCCUAACCCUUUUUAACCAAGAACCUUCAGACCCUAAACCCAAAACCCCUUCUUAGCGUAAUUCGACGUCACCUCUUUAUAGUAUAGAUGAUAGAUGACUUUAUACUAUGAAGUUGUUUUUCAAUAUAUAUAUAUAUAUAUAUAUAUAUAUAUAUAUAUAUAUGUUCAAUGGUUUUGUACUUACCUAGUGGUCCUUUCUACUAUGGGACGUACGGAUAGAUUCCGGUCCGUCCCGGGCGACGGUUUGGUGCUGGCAUAGGGCUUGGAAGGUGUUUCCGCUGGCAUUUAAGACGGGGGGCGGGGAGCCGGCAAGGGGCCUGAAGUCUAUUUUCCUCUGACUGGCAUGGGGUUAGGGGUUAUCAGACAAUUCACUAGUGAUUAUUAUAUAUACAAGUUAUGAUUUGAGACAUUGCACGACAUGCUAGGUUUCGGAAAACCUAUGUUUAUCAUUAUAUAUAUGUUUUCAUAAAACCUAGGGGUUAGUACGUUGAUAACUGUUUUAUUAUAUGUAUAUCAAAUUAGUCCAUUCAUGUUUGUUUUGCGCCCCCUUCAGGACUUAGAAUCGAGGCAUACAAUCCCAACAUCCAGGCACUUCUGCAUCGGCAUCUUCGAGUCCUCUCGGUGUAGGACCCACUCCUUAUUAUUUCCUUUAGUGUUCUAGUUAGUUGUAUGCUCUGAACACGUUCCUGAAAUGCAUAUUCAUUAGUCUUUUAUACUUAUAAGUCUUAUUUACUCCUUAUUCUCAGCAAUUGCAUUAAAUAAAUGACUUUCGUCACCCUUAGGUGUCGGUCAGCACGUGCUUAUCCUAGUAUUUGGGGAAUAUCGGGAUCGGAACGUGUCAUGUUCUGCACUGAUUUUUACAAUUUUAAAUGAAACAAAUUAAUUAAUUGAAUUAAAUUAUUGCUUUGUCCAUUUGCCUAAAAUUUAAGUCCUCUUUAGCUUGUCAAUUAAACAAGAAAUUAAGCCCUCGAACAAGAAAAUAGAAAAGAAGAAAUAAUUGUGGUGGGCCACAUUUAGGACAAGUUCCCAAACUUCUUUGUGAGCAUGUUGAGAGUUUUGUGAUGGUUGGAUUUCAAAAAAUUGAGGGUGGAUUAUUUAUAUUAAUCAUUUGUAUUAAUAAUGAUUAAUAUCGUGAUUUCAUAUAGGAGAGACUUAUUUUGAGGCUAGACACGGCAAGAUAAUUACGAUUCAAGAACGUAUUAGUGAGUGGGUUUUUAGGUUCAACCUAUACACGAGAUAUAUGAUUUUCGAAUGGGUUUUUAUGAAAUAUCAUGUUAUCAUGACAAUGUUUUACUCAACGAAUGCAAAUAUUUUAGGGGCAUUUAGAUUUUAGGGCUUCAAUAAGAUUGUUUUUAUAUUUUAAUCUAAAUAGUUUUCAAAAUCUAAUAUAAGUCCCUAUUUUUAAAACUUACCAUAUUUAAGUAGUUAUAGCACAUUUAUUAUUUAACUUACCAUUUGAAAUUCUUUACCCAUCCAUAAUUAAUGUUUUUAUUUAUUUAUUUUGUGGUCUAAUCAUAUUAAUAGAUAAAAAUUUAUUCAAAAUUCAAAUUCUUAUUAUUAAAAAAAAAUCAACAACAAAACAAAAACAAUUAUACAUAACCUUCAGUACCUUAUUUUAUUCAUAGGUACGAAAGUAUCGGUAUGAAUGUAUCGGUACAUAACUUUAGGUAUCUUAUUUUACUCAUAGAUACAGAAGUAUCGGUUUGUAAGUUUCGGUACGAAUGUAUCGGGACAAAUAUGUCGGUUCAAAUGUAUCUGUGAACACGGAAAAUUCCUGAAACGAAAGAGACAAGAACAACGUGCACAAACAAAUAUUAAGUAUUUGAUGAUUUUGGGUUACAAUCUCUCUCUAUUUUGAUCCUCUGAUUCGAUCUCCGUAAGGUAUUGAUUUGUGGAUGUUUCCUUGAUCCAAGGGCCGUCGAGGCUUGAUCUUGGAUGAACUAUUGGAAGUUUCUUCAAGGGGCCGUGGGCUUGAUCUUUGAAGGUGGAUUUGAGCGGAUCUUCAAAGGGGCUUUUGGGCUUGAUCUUUGAAGAACAGUGACGAACGGAUCUCCAAGGGCUUUUGGGCUUGAUCUUGAAGAACAGUGAUGAACGGAUCUUCAAGGGCUUUUGGGCUUGAUCUUGAAGAACGGUUGGAUGUGUGGAUUUGUCGACGUUGUUGAUCCAAAGGGCCGUUGGGGCUUGAUCUUGGAUGAACGGAUGAUGAACGAUGGUGCUUUCUUUCAAGGGCCGUCGGGGCUUGAUCUUGAAUUGGUAGAUGAUUGUUGAUCCAAGGGGCCGUUGGGGCUUGAUCUUGGAAGAACGAUGAACGAAGAACGAGGAACACUUUCUUCAAGGGCCGUCGGGGCUUGAUCUUGAAUUGGUGGAUGAUUGUUGAUCCAAAGGGCCGUUGGGGCUUGAUCUUGGAAGAACGAUGAACGAAGAACACUUUCUUCAAGGGCCGUCGGGGCUUGAUCUUGGAAGAACGAUGAACGAAGAACGAAGAAGGCUUUCUUGAUUCUUCGGGAACCUGGAUGCUUGAGAGCUUCGGAGUUUCAGAGCUUCAGAGCUUCAAGGUGUAAUAUGAAUUCCCCCUCAAAAUGAAUGAAAUGGGCUUGUAUUUAUAGAAUUUUCCAAUGCCUAAUUUUGAAUAUAAUAUCCCAGAUGAAAUAAGUCGUUUCUGCCAGGUGUUGACACGUGUCCUAUUUGAUGACUUUUCCAACUCAUUUCAAUUUUCGUUGAGUCACACGCUACGUGUAAAAUUUAUGUAAUACAUGAGCGUUGACACUUUGAUUUAUCAGUCAACAUUUAUUUACAAAAUUUCGAUGUCUACAAAUGCCCCCACUUCAAGGCACGUCGUAUACAUGUGCUUGUCACGUGUAGGAGAUGCGUUUUGAAGUCCCUUACUGUAGAUGUCGAUCCAAGGGCCGUCGAGGCUUGAUCUUGAAUUGGGCUGGAGAUUUCUUCAAGGGCCGUUGAGGCUUGAUCUUGAAUUGGGCUUGAGAUUUCUGGAUUCCUCCAAUUGUUGAUUUUCCACAGCUUAUUCUUGAACUAGGUUUUGAUUCAAGGGUGGUAGACACUUAAUCUUGAAUCGGACUUGUGAUUUCUUCCAGGGCCGUCGAGGCUUGAUCUUUGAAGGUUUGGCUGGAAGCUUCUUCAAGGGCCGUUGAGGCUUGAUUCUUGAAGGCUGACUCGAACACAUGGCAAGCAGGCCCGAGGUGAAGGUGACGACUUGUUGCUUUGUUCAAUCUUUCUAAUUCACACCUGAGCAGUUUGGUCAACGGUAUGAUCUUCGAGAUUGAUGGGCUCCUCUUCCAAUUGGUGACUUGGUCUUUAAGGAUUUGAUUCAAGGGUGGUGAAUCGGCACGUGCAGCCCACAACGCCUAGUAAGUCGACCCAAGAAUUUGAGGGUCAAAACGAGUUCACCGUCCUCAGGCAGAUGCGGCAUCUUCUCGAGUUCUUCAUCUCAGACUCUUUCUGCUGAGUUAACUGUGCAUGCUGCAUUCUUCUCUGCUUGUUUCUUUAGGCAGAUGUGGCAGCUUCUCGAGUUCCUCAAUUCGGACUCCUUCUGCUGAGUUGAUCGUGCAGACCGCAUUCUUCUCUGCUUGUUCCUUCUGCACCUUGUCUCCACAUGCUGCAAGGUAUCAUUUUCACUUGCCUUAUCUGUCCUCCAAGGCAGAUGUGGCAGCUUCUUUGAAAGUACAGCAGCAGUGGAAGGCGAGUACUCGAGAGCAGUGCUAGGUAGGCAAUCAGGGAAGGGUUCCAAGCGGUCGAUUCCUUACCCGAGUUUGAGUGGAAGUUCCGGCAUAUUGUUUUCUUUAUCCUUGUCUUUGUAGGUAAGAACAAAGAUAAAGGAAAGGACAGGGAGAACACAUGAUAUGAGAUACUCUUGCCUUCUACCCUGGUGAUAUGAGAUACUUUUGCUUUGGAGUCAUUGGCUUGCAGAGGUACCCCAAAGAAUAAGGAACACUGAAUGACUCGAGAGGUUUCGUUGGGAAAGCAUUUUUUGGAGAUGAAGAAAGGCUCUGUAUGUCUGCCUUGCUAUGGAAGGUGAAGGUGGACAGUUAUAGGAGGUCCCUUAAUACCUGUAGAGGUAUUAUUCUUUCACUCGUGUCGGCAACUAAGGCGUGAUUGAACAGUAAACUUCACGUGCUUUCUCCUUCACCGAAAAUCUUCGACAAAUUGCCCGUGAUUUGCGCAAAGUUGAGUGUGCAUAUGACAGGUGAUGACGCGGCUGAAAAAGACUGGCGCCUCUUCGAUAUCUGGGAUCGGCGCUUCGACAAAUUACCCGUGAUUUCCGCAAAGCUGAGUUUGCGCGUGACGGGUGCUGACAAGGCUGAAAAAGACUGGCGCCUCUUCGAUAUCUGGGAUUGGCUUUAACAAAUUACCCGUGAUUUCCGCAAAGCUGAGUUUGCAUGUGACGGGUGCUAACGCGUCUGGAAAAGCAAGAUGCUUCUCCGAUUUCUGAGCUUGCCUCUUCGAUUUUUGAAUCGGCAUUUUCGAACUCUGAGCUCACCUCUUCGAUCUCUGAAAUGCCGUCGAGUGUUGAUUUUAUAGAGGCACGCAGUUCGUUUCAAAGCACACUUCGCUUGUGAAAACUCCCCUCUUGUACUUCUAAGAUCUUGAUUUGUCUGAUCUCUUCUUCCUUCAACACUUUGAAAAUGUCUGGACCCUCCGAUCGUCGUUUUGACUUGAAUCUUGGUGAAGAGGCAGUCCCGCCUUCUCCAGACAACAUAUGGCGCCCAUCCUUCAUAUCCCCUACUGGUCCUCUUACCGUUGGGGAUUCGGUGAUGAAAAAUGAUAUGACCGCUGCGGUGGUGGCCCGGAACCUUGUCACUCCCCCAGAGAUAACAGACUACUUUCCAAACGGUCUGAUGAGUUGGCUGUUAAGGAUUCUCUGGCUCUCAGUGUGCAGUGUGCAGGUUCUGUGUCUAAUAUGGCCCAACGCCUAUUUGCUCGAACCCGUCAAGUUGAAUCAUUGGCGGCUGAAGUGAUGAGUCUCAAACAGGAGAUUAGAGGGCUCAAGCAGGAGAAUAAACAGUUGCACAAGCUUGCACACAACUAUGCCACAAACAUGAAGAGGAAAAUUGACCAGAUGCAGGAAUCUGAUGGUCAGAUUUUACUUGAUCAUCGGAGGUUUGUGGGUUUGUUCCAGCAGCAUUUACCUUCGUCUUCUGGGGCUGUACCGACUGCUGAGGCUUCAAACAGCCAACCUCCGACGCCUUCUCUUCCUGGAGCUCUGCCGAGUUGUGAGGCGCCACCUGAUCGUCCUUGAAUAUCCCCUCUUGUAAAUUUGAUUUGAUUUUUUUAUUUUUUUUUUUAUUUUAUUUUUUUUUUUUAAGGUAUGCAUAAUGCAAAUUUGUGUAAAAUUUCCAGAGAAAAAAAAAAUAAAUAAAUAAAAUGGACUUUAUUUCUCUCGAUGCAUUUUUUUUUGUUGCUAUAUACAUACAUAUAUUAUGUACAUACACACCGCAUUAUCAUAACUUCAUUUUCUUUUCUUUUCUUUUUCUUUUUUUUUUUUUUUUUUUUUUUUUUUUAAAUAAAUAUAUAUAUAUAUAUUUUUUUUUUCUUUCUUUUUCUGCACAUGGUGCCAGACGCACCAUGAAACCCCUUUUUUUUAUUUUAUUUUUUUUUAUUUUAUUUUUUAAUUCCUUCUUUCUUCUUUUUUUUUUCACGUGUAGCUGAUCCACCACUUUUUUCUCUUUUCAAAAUGGUGCUCAUGCCAUUCUCCUUUUUUCACGUGGUGCCAGCACCGUAAGAUUCCAUUCUCCUUUUUUUUUUUUUUUUUUUUUUUUGUAUAAAUUUCGGUGAUCUUCACUGCACUACCGUAGCAUGUUCACUAAUGGUUGACUUUAGCGGCGGGGAGGGCGGUGCCCUUGGUGAUGUUCAAGACGACGCCGAGUUGAGCACUGCUUUUGAAGGUCUCACAGAGGCAGGAAGCGUCGGCUUUGAGCACAGUCUUGAGGCCACUGCAGCAAGUCUUUGCCAGCUUCGUGUCCGUGUUCCCAUUCGACACAAAUGACAAGCAGUCCGCCAUGUUCAAGAUCAGGCUCGAGCAGUCCACCGCAGGAACCGGCGCCGCGCAGUCCCCAAGUCCAAACGACAGCACCGCCAUCACCAUCACCACAGUGCUCAUCCAAACCCUCGUUGCUGCUCCCAUUUUUUUUGUUUUUUUUUUGUGGGAUUGUGAUAACUCAAGAAGGAAUGAUGGCACCAAGUAGGAAGUGGGUUGGUGAGACAACAGACUUCGCGGAGAGAUUAUUGCAGUCGUGUUCGCCAUUGCAGAUGACUCCAGGCCAGGUGCAGAUCGAAACAGACUCAUUCCAUUGGACCCGGUUCGCGUGUGGGGUGUGGGUGUGCGGACGAGUCGGUCGAGCUCGCGGAGAGCAGAGAUGUCGAGAUUGAGGCGUCGGGUGAGGAGUUUGUUUUGUUUGCUCCGUGCACAAAAGCUGCUGCAAGGGAUUCCUGCGCUUCGCCGCCUCGUCGCUGAAGUUCUCCGACGGAGGCAGGCCCAACUCGUCGUCCGAAGCUUCUAGCAGGUAUCCAAGGUCGGGAUUUGACUCGCCGGACUCUGACGUCAGGUCAACCACCAGCACCGAAGCUGGAUCGGUCUCCGACUCUUGCUCCGUAUCCGAUGCCGGACGUGGCGACGACUGACAAGAAUUUGUUGCGGCAGCUACCUCUUCCUCGAAGCUCUCAUGACGGAGUCGAGGUCCUGAGUCGUGGGAUCGGCGUCCGAGUCGUCGAGAAAAACCCAGAAGGUCUUCCCUGAGCCGCUUCACCUCGGCCGAGUCGUCCGAGUUGUCUCGGACCCGCUUCUUGUUCUUUGAGGUGUGGUCCUCCAUGUUUGAAAUAAUACCAAUCGCAAGAGAGAGAGGAGAGUUUUUUUUUUCAGAUGAAGCGUGGGGAUGUCGUGCUCUCUCUGGGAGAAACCAUGGAGAUUUGGGCAUGGUCCUUGCUGUUGCAGGCGGAAGGGAGGAAAAGACCCGUGCUUGAUGGGCUUCAAGAGCCUGACGGCGAUAUCUAAACCAUUGUUGGCCCAAAAAAACAUUGUUGUGGUGGAUUGGGGCAGCAGAGGUAUGGUGCAGGAUCUCUUUGGGCUUCGAUAAGGGCCUGGGCUGCACGGGCUUGGAUCCACGCGCUGUGGGCUGAGAAUGGAACUUAUAUAUAUAUAUAUAUAUAUUAUAUAUAUAUAUAUAUAUUUUUUUUUAUUAUAUAUUUUUUUUUUUUUUUUUGUUGAAGAAACUGUUUCAUUCAUUUUUUUUUAAAUAGUACACAUUAUGACAUAUGUAUUUACUUAUUUAACAUAACACAUUCUAACAUAUGUAUUUACUUAUUUAACAUAACACAUUCUAACAUAUGUAUUUACUUAUUUAACAUUUAUUUAUUUAUUUUACUAACACAUUAUGACAUAUGUAUUUACUUAUUUAACAUAACACAUUCUAACAUAUGUAUUUACUUAUCUAACAUAACACACACAUAUAUACAUAUAUAUAUAUAUGCCUUUCAGCGCGUCACUUUUACCGUGUGGGGUUGUGCAAGAGACUGCAGCGGGGAUUUGCUAUGUAGCACUCGAGGCAGAAUGUAAGGUGGCAAGCUUCAUGAUCGGCUAGUCGUUUGACGGCGGUCAUUGAAGUCUCUUCGUCGAUUGGAGCAUGGUGGCCAGAGUGACGAAGCUGGUGUUGACGGCCUUGCUACUUGCCCUUGCCGCUUGGAGCUUGAGGCAGAAUGUAAAGCGUCGAGCUUCAUGACUGGCUAGUCGUUUGACGGCGGUCAUUGAAGUCUCUUCGUCGAUUGGAGCAUGGUGGCCAGAGUGACGAAGCUGGUGUUGACGGCCUUGCUACUUGCCCUUGCCGCUUGGAGCUUGAGGCAGAAUGUAAAGCGUCGAGCUUCAUGACCGGCUAGUCGUUUGACGGCGGUUAUUGAAGUUUCUUCGUCAUUUGAAGCAUGGUGGCCAGAGUGACGAAGCUGGUGUUGACGGCCUUGCUACUUGCCCUUGCCCCUUGGAGCUUGAGGCAGAAUGUAAAGCGUCGAGCUUCAUGACCGGCUAGUCGUUUAACGGCGGUUAUUGAAGUUUCUUCGUCAUUUGAAGCAUGGUGGCCAGAGUGACGAAGCUGGUGUUGACGGCCUUGCUACUUGCCCUUGCCGCUUGGAGCUUGAGGCAGAAUGUAAAACGUCGAGCUUCAUGACCGGCUAGUCGUUUGACGGCGGUCAUUGAAGUUUCUUCGUCGUUUGAAGCAUGGUGGCUAGAGUGACGAAGCUGGUAUUGACGGCCUUGCUACUUGCCCUUGCCGCUUGGAGCUUGAGGCAGAAUGUAAAGCGUCGAGCUUCAUGACCGGCUAGUCGUUUGACGGCGGUUAUUGAAGUUUCUUCGUCAUUUGAAGCAUGGUGGCCAGAGUGACGAAGCUGGUGUUGACGGCCUUGCUACUUGCCCUUGCCGCUUGGAGCUUGAGGCAGAAUGUAAAACGUCAAGCUUCAUGACCGGCUAGUCGUUUGACGGCGGUCAUUGAAGUUUCUUCGUCGUUUGAAGCAUGGUGGCCAGAAUGCACUGUUGUUGCUGCUUGGAGCUCGUUCCAGUACGUCACUUUUACCGUGUGGGGUUAUGCAAAAGACUGCAGCGAGUUUAUGCUGUGUAGUGCCUUUUGUUGCAACUUUCCUCGGAGGUGCCGUCGCCGUGCACACCGACCAUGCCGCCUGCCAUCUCAUUCCUUUAAAGAAAUAAAGUAUCCGUAUUUUGGAUUUGCUCUUUAUUCUUCAAAGUGUUUGUGUUUUUAUUGAUGAUGUGACUGUACUUGAAGUUUUGAAGUUUCAAGUUGCCUACGUACCCUCGAUUGAGGAGGGAUCAAGUCAUGACGUAGUUCAAAUACAUUUUUUUUUUGUUUGCAGUUUCAGCUCGUGCAGACCAGGAGCGUUGUGCCAUGCAGUUUAGGCUCGUGCAGGCGAGGAGCUUCGUGUCCUACAGUUUAGGCUCGUGCGGACAAGGAGCUUGGGUGUUGCCUUUCAGGGGUAGUAGCGCUUCAAGAAUCUGCCGUUGAUAGGGCCGAUCUUCAAGCCGUCUUCCGCCAUGAUUAAGUAGGCGCCAUUGGUGUAGACUUCUUGUACUACGUAUGGUCCAUCCCAUUUUGACGUGAACUUGCUCUUUGUCUUGUGAGUUGUGAUGAUAGGCCUACGCAAUGAAAGGACGAGAUCUCCCAUUUGAAAAGACCGAGGGAGAACUUUCUUGUUGAAGGCUUUAGACAGUCGCGCUUGAUAACACUCCAGGUGUUGCUGGGCUUCGAGUCUUUUCUCAUCCAGCGCCUCCAGUUCUUGAAGACGCAACUUUGCAUUCUCUUCGUCAGUCAAGCCUUCUUGUAUAGCCAUCCUUAGCGAGGGGAUUUGACUUUCGAGUGGUAGAACAGCUUCUACGCCAUAUACAAGAGAAUAAGGUGUGGCUUGGGUAGGCGUUCUAUAUGUUGUCCUGUAUGCCCAUAGGGCUUCGCCUAUUCUUUCAUGCCAAUCUUUCUUUGUUCUACCGAUUACCUUCUUCAGGAGGUUGCACAAUGUCUUGUUGAAUGCUUCUGCAAGACCGUUGGCCGGAGCAUGAUACAUGGAGGAUUUGUGCUGCUUGAACUUGUAUUUCUCGCAGAGCUCGUCCAUGAGUCGGUUUGAGAACUGCUUUCCGUUGUCGGUGACAAUGUAACGAGGCACCCCAUAUCGAUGGAUGAUAUGUCCCUUGAUGAAACGGACGACAGUUUCCUUCUUGACUUCCUUUAGGGGUAUGGCCUCAGCCCACUUAGAGAAGUAAUCUGUUGCAGCCAGGAUGUAAGCCUCUCCUAUAGAUGACUUUGGCGCAAUUGGUCCUACGACGUCCAAUCCCCAUGCGUCGAACGGCCAUGAAGUAGCUGUGGGGUGUAAUGGUUCAGGCGGUUGAUGUAUGAAGUUGGCAUGAAAUUGGCAGGCUUGGCACCUUUUGGCGUAUUCUAGGCAGUCCUUUACCAUGCUUGGCCAGUAAUAACCCAUUCUCUUGAGCUGGAAAUGAAGCUUCGGCCCGGACUGGUGCGCUCCACAUAUUCCUGAGUGUGCUUCUUCCAUGGCUUGAUUGGCUUCUUCCUCGCCUAGGCAUCUCAGAAGUACCCCUUCAAACGAUCGCCGGUAGAGUGUCCCUUUGUAAUAGAGGAAGCGAUGUGCUCGUCGACGUAUUUCAGAGCGGUGUUUCGGAUCAUCUGGAAGCAUUCCGUGCUCCAAGUAGUUGAUCAGAGGUUGUCUCCAUUCUUCAACGUUGACCGAAAGUAUUGAAAUAACGUUUGUAUCACUUAAUACCAUUUCGAUGACAAGCGGGAUUACCCACCUUUGGCAGACUGGCACGUUUGUAGCUUCGUCUUCUCCUAAUGUCAUGCUCGAGGCUAGGUUGGCGAGAGCGUCUGCCAUUUGAUUCUCUUUUCUUGGCACGUGUUCUAGUGUUACGGUCUCAAACCUUUGUAGCAACUGCGUUGCCAGCCGGAAGUAUGGGACAAGGUCAUCUUUCCUCACCUCAUAUUCAGUCAGGAGUUGAUUGAUUAUGAGCUUGGAGUCGCCGUAUAUCUCGAGGGCUGCGAUUUCCAUGUUGAUUGCCAUUUGGAGCCCGAGGAUCAGUGCUUGGUACUCAGCGACAUUGUUAGAGCAUAAUUCGCUUAGCUGGAAUGAAUAAGGUAGUAUUUGCCUUUGUGGCGACAUGAAUACUACUCCUGCCCCCGCUCCGUCUGCUCGUGCAGAUCCGUCGAAGAACAUCGUCCAUGUCGGGAAUAUGUCGAUGCAGAACACCUCUUCGUCGGGCAAGUCGUCUGAGAUUUUCCAAUCGGCUGGGAUUGGAUGGUCGGCAAGGAAGUCUGCUAGCGCUUGUCCUUUGACGGCUUUAGCUGGGACGUAGAUGAUCUCGUAUUGAUUGAGAAGUAAUGCCCAUUUAGCUAGUCGCCCUGUCAAAACUGGCUUAGACAUGACGUAUUUGACCGGGUCAGCUUUAGCAACCAAGUGGAUGGUGUAAGCAUGCAUGUAAUGUCUGAGCUUCUGGAUGGCAAACAUCAAGGCCAGGCACAUUUUUUCUAUUGGGGAGUAGUUCAAUUCAGCGCCGGUAAGCGUUCGACUGAGGUAGUAGAGCGCUCCUUCUUUCUGGGCCUCAUUUUCCUGUGCCAAGAGUGCUCCAACUGAACUUUCCUGAGCAGCAAUGUACAAUAUGAGCGGUUUCCCUGGUACAGGUGCCCCCAGGACAGGCGGACUUGAUAAAUACUUCUUUAUGCUUUCAAAAGCAUUGUUGCAUGCUUUGUCCCAUACGAACGGAACAUCUUUCUUCAUGAGUCGACUGAACGGUUGACAACGCCCUGCAAGGUUGGAGAUGAAGCGUCUGAUGAAGGCUAGCCGACCUUGUAGACUUUUCAACUCGUGCAGGUUUCUUGGCUCGGGCAUGCUUUGAAUGGCCUUGAUCUUUGAUUGGUCCACUUCAAUGCCACGAUGCUUGACAAUGAAGCCAAGGAACUUUCCAGAUGUGACGCCAAAUGCACACUUUAAUGGGUUCAUCUUGAGGUUGUAUUUUCGCAACCUUUUGAACACUACUCGCAAAUCCUUCAAGUGAUUUGAUCUUUUCUUUGUCUUGACCACCACAUCGUCUACAUAGCAUUCUACAUUCUUGUGUAGCAUGUCAUUGAAGAUCUUCUGCAUUGCGCGUUGAUAUGUAGCUCCAGCAUUCUUCAGACCAAAGGGCAUCACCUUGUAGCAGUAAAUACCUUUUGGAGUGCGGAAGGCUGUUAGUUCCUCAUCUUCAAGAGCCAUGCGAAUUUGAUUGUAUCCAGAAGAGCCGUCCAUGAAUGAUAGUGCCUCAUGGCCAGUGGUUGCGUCCACCAUGAUCUCAAUGAUUGGCAAGGGGAAGUCAUCCUUUGGGCAAACAUUAUUGAGGUCUCGAAAGUCCACGCAAACACGUAUUUGUCCAGAUUUCUUAAGGACUAUGACGAUGUUGGAGAUCCACUUGGGGUAUUGCACCUCUCGAAUGAAGCCUGCUUCGAUCAACUUGUCAAUCUCGGCCUCGAUUUGUGGGAUGAGCUCGGAUCGAUAGCGUCUUUGAGUUUGCUUUACUGGUCGCGUUCCAGGCUUGACUGCAAGAUGAUGCACAGCAAUGAUAGGGUCGAGGCCGGGCAUUUCCUUGUAGGUCCAAGCAAAGACGUCCUUGAACUAUAAUAGCAGCUGGUAAUACUUCUCUAUCUCGCCUGCACUUAGUAAUGCACUCACGAAGAUAGGCUUCGGUUCCUCACUUGUGCCUAAGUUGAGUUCUUUGAGAUCGUCAACUGUGGCUUGCCCCCCAUCUUCGAGUUGUGACGGUGCUGCAAUGACAUCUUCUUCGAGGCUUUCAUCUUCUUCACCUUCUUGGAUUGUGAUGUGGAAGACGUCUUGGGCUUCUUCUUCGGUGUUAACCUCUCGAGCUAGUUGGCGUGAAGAUUGUCCAGUGUGAAUGAUGGUGCGCCUUUUCACUUUCAGCGAUCCAACUGUGUUAACCUCCAAAAUUGCGUGGCGCUUCAUUCUUGAAGGAAUGGAACUUCGAACGUCAUCCUUUUCUGCUAGGCGAUCGAUCUCUUCUACUUCUGGUGUCGUCUUUCUCAUUUUGGAAGGCUCUUUGGCUUCUCCAAGUCUUUCCAUAACUGACUGUCGUGGAGGAAAGCUAGUCGUAUUGCUUUGCUUUUUAGGUUUUGAUAACCUUUUGAAAACAGAGCCUCGAGAUACUGACGUGUUAAGCCUUUUGAAGACGGAAGUUUUGUUUUGAACGCCAAUGAGUUUAGGUGCCGAAACUCUGGGCUUUGAACGAUUCAUUCUAUCGAAUACUGAUGUCCGGGGGGCAGGUUGAGGCUCCUCUUUAUUUUGUAUAAUGCUUAUGCUGAUGUGUUGAGCGCUAGCAUUUUUUGCCUUGCUGGAGAUCUUCACCGGUGCAUUUGGUGUGAAGCCAAGCCCAGCUUUGUUGUUGCUAACCCCGUAACCAUGCUUCUCCAAUUUCUUCUGAGUUUUAGUGAGAUCACGUUCGUUGUCUUUGACGGUGUUCAAAUCAUUCUUUCCCAAAUUUGCAGAGGAGGUGAAGUUAUACCCAGCUUUCGACAUAAGUUUGUAGGCGUUUGGAUCAAAACCUUCUUCGGUCCUUUUGGUUGGGAGAAAGCUUGGUUCUACCCCCUUUGGCAGGCCUUUUAUGAAGCCCUGUGAUGGUUUUGCAACCUUGGUGUCGCCUAGCUGGGUCAGAGGGAAAACUGCAUUCGUUUUGAGCAACUUUACAUUAUCUACGUGCCGCUGUGCAUCGGCUUUGCUCGCUGCAGUUUCAAACGGGGAUUGACCAUUCUUUCUUCUCGACGUCGGGAUGUACCGGAAGACGGGUACGCUUGGUCCAUUUGAGGUCGUCCUACUUCCUCUGGUUGUUGCAGGUUUAGAAAGUUCAUCGUCGUUUUUGCUUGAAGAUGGCAUAGCUUCUUCUUCUUGCUUCUUGGGCAUAGCUUGCCACUCCUGUUUUUUAGGCGCUGCUUUGCUCAUGGAUUUAAUCUCUUUUGGAAGAGUUUCGGGCACCGUGUCUUCAUUCAUGUAGAACUUGGCGUCUGCGAAAUGUGAUUCAGCUUCGGUGAAUGGCUUGGUGUCGCCAUAGAUCACUUUCACUCGUUCUUGGUAAAAUUUUAAACAUUGGUGAAGGGUGGACGGUACCACUCCGUUCGCAUGGAUCCAAGGCCUUCCUAAGAGCAGACCGUAGGAAGUUCUUGCAUCAAUCACGUGGAACAUCACGCUUGACUUGAGUUCACCAAUGGUCAUCUCCACUCGGAUCAUGCCCAUCGCUCUUUGUCCUCCUUGGUUAAAACCUUGGAUUAGUAGACGGCUUAGGGAUAGUUCAUCCACCUUGAUGCCGAUUGCGGUCAUUGUUGACUUUGGCAUGAUAUUUAUGGCUGACCCGCCGUCCACAAGCAUGCAGCUGACUUUAUGCUCCCUUACGUACCCAGAGACGAAGAGAGGUCGGUUGUGAGGCUUGGAUCCUAGCAACAAGUCUUCGUCGGCGAAGUGGAUUGUGUCCUCGGUGGCACAGCAUGUGGCACACUCGUGUGGCAGAGGCCUCAAGCCUUCGUUCUUGCUUUCUUGCACUUCGUGGUUGUUUGGACUCGCUAAAACCGUUGCCAAUGCCCUUCGUAUCUUCUUUGGCAAUUGUAGCGCUUCCUCGAUGCUAAAGUGUAUUGGCAGACCUUCUUCAGGUGUCGGAGUAUUUUCUCCCUCAGCGACGACAAUUUUGCCCUUUGAGGGUUCUUCCAUUUCUAUUUCGACCACGUGACAUGCGGUGAUAGUACAAUGUUGGAAAAAGUCCUCCGGGAAGUACUCGUGCAAUGAGACGGGAAUGCGUGGCUUUUGCUCCGCAGGUUCCCCAGCAUAUAUUGGCUUAGCAGCUCUUAUGUUUCUCUUAGGCUUCCUAUUGCCGCGACGGCGGUGCUUUCUCCCUUGUUCCCCCUUUUGCUUUAUAGCUUGCGGUUUUGGUUUCCUCGUCCUCUUAUAGGUCACCAAUGUCCAUCCUUUGUCAUCGUCAGUAGGUGCGUCCUGGUUGCUUGCCCCUAGUGACGGUGGUGCAGAAUGUGCAGUGUGGUUUGAGUAUUGCCGAGCAUGGUCAGGCAUUUCUUGAAGAAGCACGGGAUCAAAGGAUCCGAACACGACCGUAGUGGUGUGCGUCGCAGCUGUGUCUUCUAGGUCGAGCUCAAUUCGUCCUUGUUGCGCCAACUUCAUGAUGAGUUCUUUUAGGAUAAAACAUUUGCCCACAUGAUGACCCACGAUACGAUGGUACUUGCAGUAUUUGGGAUCAUUGAUGCGAUUCAUUUCUUCAGGGCGUUUGCAUUCGGGUAACUCAAUCACCUUCUUCUCCAGCAGGUCGUCCAGCAUUGCGUCCAUGUCGGAGUCCGGAAAAGGGUAUACCUUCUGCUCCAAUUCCCUCAAGGUGUUUUUGUACCUAUCUUGGGUGUGGGAAGGCUCACCUUUUUUUAUCUCCCUUGCUUUAUUGAAAGAGAUUUUGACGGGCGCGGACGAGGUCUUGAUAGGGGUGGUAUUGGUGGUAAAAGCUUCCUUGGCGGGCUUUUUCCCAUGAUUGUCUGCUCUUGAAGUGAACACCUUAUCCCUUUUGAAAUCGGUGAUUGGCUCCUUCUUUCCAUGGUGGGCGAUGCUCAACUCCAUGUCGUGGGCACGGGUGGCUAAUUCUUCAAAAGUUUGUGGUUUGAUACCUUGAAGGAUGUAUUGUAAACCCCAUUGCAUGCCCUGGAUGCACAUCUCGAUUGAAGAAAUCUCGGAGAGUCUGUCCUUACAGUCGAGGCUUAGAUUACGCCAUCGGUUGAUGUAGUCCAUGACUGGCUCGUCCUUCCACUGCUUUGUGCUUGUUAGCUCUAGCAUGCUCACAGUGCGGCGGGUGCUGUAGAAGCGAUUGAGGAAUUCCCGCUCCAAUUGCUCCCAACUGUUGAUGGACUCAGGCUCCAGAUCCGUGUACCACUCAAAGAUGUUUCCUUUCAGCGAGCGCACAAACUGCUUGGCGAGGUAGUCCUCUUCGGUUCCUGCGUUGUUGCAAGUUUCAACGAAGUGGGCAACGUGCUGUUUCGGGUUUCCCUUUCCAUCAAAUUGCAUGAACUUUGGUGGUUGAUAACCCCUUGGCAUCCUUAAGGCGUCGAUCUUUUUUGAAUACGGCUUUGAGUACAACCCGGAGGUACAUGAGCUCCCUUCGUACUGUGCCUUGAUGGUGUUGGUGAUCAUCUCUUGCAGCUGCUGGAUAGAAAGAGAUCCCAUGAGUGCCGCUGCUUGGUCUGGUUUCGGCUUCCCAUCGAUUUUCUUCACCGGGGGUUCUUCGUCUCCGCCAGCUCCUCCCUUUAGUGGAUCAUCCUCUGGGUCGGGUUUCUCGCUGUCCUGCGCCUCCAAUCGGUUGACUAAUGCCGCGAUUUGCAAGUCUUUUUCUUCCACAGUUCGAGUUAGUCUUGCGAUUGCUUCAUUCAUUUGAGCAAGCUGUUCCUCGACUUGAAGUUGCUCCAAUGCGGUCAUGACUUGCAUGGCUGAACUGCCGCUUGAAUCGUCAUCGGAGAGCAUGGAUUCGGAGUAUUCCCUUGGUCUUUCCCCCCUUGGUGCCCUUAGUGAGGCUAAGGUGAUCACAAGGCUCGCGCCUGGGGUACUCUCGUUCCCCUGGCAGAGUUGAUGCAGAGGUGAAAGAGGUGGCAGAAGUAGCUUUUGCUUUGCUUCGAGUCGUGAUACCCCAACGUGACACCACUUGCGACGAGGGCGCCUUUGUUCUUUGCGCCGGUUAUGGGAACAACUUUGAGCCUUCCUUGACGUCAUUGAAUUUUGGAAGUGUGCUUGAUAUUCCUUGAACGGAGGAAGAGAUGAGAGGUAGAGAUGUCCCACUGGGCGUGCCAAUUUAUGAACACGGAAAAUUCCUGAAACGAAAGAGACAAGAACAACGUGCACAAACAAAUAUUUGUAUUUGAUGAUUUUGGGUUACAAUCUCUCUCUAUUUUGAUCCUCUGAUUCGAUCUCCGUAAGGUAUUGAUUUGUGGAUGUUUCCUUGAUCCAAGGGCCGUCGAGGCUUGAUCUUGGAUGAACUGUUGGAAGUUUCUUCAAGGGGCCGUGGGCUUGAUCUUUGAAGGUGGAUUUGAGCGGAUCUUCAAAGGGGCUUUUGGGCUUGAUCUUUGAAGAACAGUGACGAACGGAUCUCCAAAGGCUUUUGGGCUUGAUCUUGAAGAACAGUGAUGAACGGAUCUUCAAGGGCUUUUGGGCUUGAUCUUGAAGAACGGUUGGAUGUGUGGAUUUGUCGACGUUGUUGAUCCAAAGGGCCGUUGGGGCUUGAUCUUGGAUGAACGGAUGAUGAACGAUGGUGCUUUCUUCAAGGGCCGUCGGGGCUUGAUCUUGAAUUGGUAGAUGGUUGAUCCAAGGGGCCGUUGGGGGCUUGAUCUUGGAAGAACGAUGAACGAAGAACGAGGAACACUUUCUUCAAGGGCCGUCGGGGCUUGAUCUUGAAUUGGUGGAUGAUUGUUGAUCCAAAGGGCCGUUGGGGCUUGAUCUUGGAAGAACGAUGAACGAAGAACACUUUCUUCAAGGGCCGUCGGGGCUUGAUCUUGGAAGAACGAUGAACGAAGAACGAAGAAGGCUUUCUUGAUUCUUCGGGAACCUGGAUGCUUGAGAGCUUCGGAGUUUCAGAGCUUCAGAGCUUCAAGGUGUAAUAUGAAUUCCCCCUCAAAAUGAAUGAAAUGGGCUUGUAUUUAUAGAAUUUUCCAAUGCCUAAUUUUGAAUAUAAUAUCCCAGAUGAAAUAAGUCGUUUCUGCCAGGUGUUGACACGUGUCCUAUUUGAUGACUUUUCCAACUCAUUUCAAUUUUCGUUGAGUCACACGCUACGUGCAAAAUUUAUGUAAUACAUGAGCGUUGACACUUUGAUUUAUCAGUCAACAUUUAUUUACAAAAUUUCGAUGUCUACAGUAUCAAUACGUAACUAUAGUAUCUAAACAUACAUAUAUACGUAAUAUGCAUAUACAUAUAUAUAUGGAAAUUCACGCACAAUGAAAAAGAUAUGAUAAUAUAUGACUUUUUAUGGGAACUUAAUAAAUAACAUUUUUAUUAUUUAUGGGAAUCAAUAUAUAACCUACAAACAAAAAACUAAAUAAUUAUUACAACCUAUUUAAUAUUAAAAAAAUUAAAAUUAAAUGCUAAGGAUUAGAAUUAGUUUUUAAUCUUAGACAAGGAUUAGAAUAGAAUUUUCCGAAUAUUGAAGACGUUAUUAUUUAUGUGUUUUGUGAACAUUAUUAUGGCAUGAUCAUACAUCUUUUAUUAGCUCAUCAUGUAUGUUAAACCGGUGUCUAUAGUGCUAUCUAGGAUCAUGAUCAACUUCACAUGUAUGUUCACACUGCACGUUAUGCUCACUUUGGAUUUUUUUAGUUCUAGCCUGUACUAGUUGCAUUUAUCUUUCAAGACUGAAGUGUGAUGUGCCUUGCACCACCUUCACGUGUAUUUGUACUUGAGCGUAGAUUUAUACACCCAACUUGUUCUGCUUAGAGUGUCCUCCCUUGGAUAAGCUUGUUUGUCUGCAUUUCUUAUGAGAAUAUUAUAUCAUACUUACUAUAUUUGAGAUUUAUUGUAAUAUAAAUGUAUUCUUUAAAUUUGUUUUUAACAUAAUCGAAUUUAAAAACUCUCACCUACAAGUAAAGAUGAAUAUCACAAGACAAUGAUGAUAUACAUGUAUUCUUGAAUUAACUGGUUUAAUAUUAAUGCCUUAGUUUUCAUACUUAUACGUAUGAUUUUUAAAAGUUAUGAGUUUUACAGCGAGACGGGGGUUAUUAUGUUCCGAAAAGCAAGGGGCAAAAGCCAUACCAGUUUUGUCACUUUCUCAUCCACCAAAAAACUCUCUCACCAGCUACCCCAACAACUUCCUCUCUGUCUCUUCCCCUGAUGUCAAACUGUACGGUGGAGCGCUGCACAGUUGAGACCAGCGAUGGAGUCAAGCUCAGCGCAAAGCUCUUCAAACCCAGAGAAGAAGAAGAGAUCAAGAAGGGCAGCCCUGUGGUGGUUCUGGUGCACCCAUACUCCGUCCUCGGCGGCUGCCAAGGCCUGUUGAGAGGAAUAGCAGCUGGGUUGGCAGACGGAGGCUAUAAAGCUUUGACCUUUGACAUGAGAGGGGUUGGGAGGUCAACAGGAAGGGCCUCUCUCACUGGGUUUGCAGAAAUUAAGGAUGUGAUUGCUGUGCAAAUGGGUUUCUGAGAAUCAAUCAGCUGACAGGAUUUUGUUGGUGGGUUCUUCUGCAGGUAUAAUAUGUUUGAAUUUUAUUUUCUUUUAGAAUAUGUUUCUGCAAUUUUUAUUGGAUUAAGCAUGUUGGUUAUAAAUUAAAGGGGGUGUUUUUUAUGUGGAUGAUUUUUUUGGAUCUGUGGAUUGUGUAUUAGCUUGUGGUGGUUUAAAGAUUGCUUCUUUGAUUGUUUUGGUGAAUGGUUGUGUGGAUCUGUAAUUUGGAUAUUAGUUUGCGAAGUGAUCAGAGUGUUACGUAGAUAACUACUAAUUACUUUCUGAAGCGUCGUCGAAAAAUUAAAGAAGGCUUUGGAUUUGAGGGAGAAUUGAUGAUAUGAGGCUAGGAUUUCAUUGGUAAUGUUAGUUUUCCCAUAUAAGUGUGAAGAAGUUGGAAUUUCAUUUGGUAAUGUUGUUUGGAGUAUUUCUGACUUUCGUGUUGCUGAUCGAACUGUCCUUCGAUCAUUCAAAAGUUUGGAUUUUGAUCACAUUCAAGGCAAAUAUAAGUAUGAUGAAAAAUGUUAUGUGCAACAAUGGUAGGUUUCUCUAGCUCGACUGGAGAUUGUAAAUGUUGUAAAAGAUGAUAAAUGAUGAGAAGCCUAAGUUUCUAGUAAUUGUGAGGGACUUGAGCUAUGAUUUGAUAAAAUCUAGCAUCGUUGUAAUUUCGAACAGCCUCUCACUGUUGCUCCUUAACUUCUUGUUCUGAAUUGCAAUUUUUGGUUUUCGAUGUUUUGUUUAUGCUCUCUAGUAAUUGCAAUAUGAAAAUCGAUACAAGGACAUAAGUAAAAUCACAAGGUCAAUCAGUUUUAGUGAGAAAUAGAUGGUUUUUUUUUUUUUCUGCAAAUAAUCUUGUGGUAAACUAUGAAGCAUGAUCUAGGAUCUUUCUGGUAUGAACCGCACAUAAUUGUUGUAGACAUGGUCGGAAAAACAUAAGAUGUUAUUCAUAGUCCUGUCUGUUUUGUUCGUUUUAUGAUCAUUUGAGCAGGGAGUAACAUAAUUUCCUCAUAUGUUUUAUAAUUUCCCUAUGUUACGGUGUAGGUGCCCCGAUUGCAGGCUCUGCGGUAGAUCAGGUUGAACAAGUUGUGGGCUAUGUUAGUCUGGGGUAUCCUUUCGGCAUGCUUGCCUCAAUCCUUUUCGGGAGACACCACAAAGCCGUACUACAAUCCUCAAAACCCAAACUUUUCGUAAUGGGGACACAGGACGGGUUCACGAGCGUGAAGCAGUUAAAGAACAAGCUGAGUUCUGCAGCCGGUCGUGUUGAAACACACCUGAUUGAAGGAGCAGGCCACUUCCAAAUGGAAGGCCCUGCUUAUGAUGCACAGAUGGUGAAUCUUAUCCUUGAAUUCAUUGCAUCAUUGUAGGUAAUCAACCAUGUGUAAUGGAGUUGUUCUAUAUCAGAACGGAUCAGAUCCGCACCGAUCAGAUUCUCCCCGUUAGCAUCGUGCCGCUGAUGUAUGUGUAUGCUAACUUGUAAUCGUGUGUAAUUUGCAGGAGCUUAGUUGGUUGCUAUGUGCUUUCGGUGUAAAAUUAAGCUGAUGUCUCAACAAAUACGAGAGAAAGAGAGUCGUUAAAUCAAUCUUUACAGUCAAGUGUCAUCCAGUACAACCCCGAAAACAUAAUUAAGGUUAAACUAAAACUGAAACGAAGCCUAACGCUUACACUAAUCAUUCACUUGAUUCGACAUCAAAUCCGAACAUGGCACAGAUACUACAAGGAGGAAUAUAUCAUAUGUCGUCACUCUCAAAACGUUGAUCAUCGGAUGCAAUUCUGCCGUCCCUGGUCAUUUUGUUGCCAUUUGAACCAUCAACCCCCCCGACCUUCAGCCAUUUCGUCAUACUGCCGUUUUCUCCAUCCGCGUUCUGGGUCUAGUGAUUGUCUUUGGGAGAAUGUAUGUUCAUCUGUUUUGAAGCCAAACAAGGAAGAAAAAUGGGACAUUGGUCAUCAGCAAAAGUUAAUAAGACGUUGCGCAGCCGUGCUGCUUCAGAGAUACAUUCACUGCAAUAAUAGAUAAUACAUCCAUUGUAAUUUUCGGAAAAUAUAUAUACGCAACAUAGCAGCAUGAUGACCUUGAUGUUAAAAAUUACAGAAAGUUUUAACUGAAAAGUUGUACACAGUAAGUACUAGUCAAAUCUGACUAAUAAGGACUAAAGAUACAACAUAAGGCAGUGGAGCUUUAUUAUGUAUUAUAGAACAUGGGUUAUAUGCAAUUAGUUAUUACCGCUUUCAACGUCAGAUGCAUCUUCGAGUCUUGCAAUUGCAUCGACCAGUGCCUGUUCAUGCUCCUGCGUUUUAUAUAAACCAUUACAAUCCCGGCAAUUAAAGAACAUCACGCAAAUAAAGCAUAAAAGAUGCUUGAAUUCAUACUUUGAGAACUUUCUUGGCUUUCUCAAUCUCCAUGGGGUCAGGAUGGCUGGCUCUGAAAACCUUUUCCACCUAUAGUUUCAAGCAAAGCGGGAAAAACAAGUUACCACCAGGUAAUUGGAGGAAAAGCGGGGAAGAAAAAACUUAAAUCGUCAUACUUAUACCUCUUUAAUCAACGAGCCUGUAUGAAGUAUUUCAAUGUCGCUCAUUGCCUUCCUGCCAAUGCCAUUUAGUUGCGGAGGCAAAUCCUUCUUGGAACCCUUUGCAGUCCCUCUACCUCUUCCUGCACCUGCAACUGCACCACCACGUGCCGUGGACUUUUUAUUCCCUCGGCCAGGUCCAGGUCCAGGUCCAGGUCGACCGCCUUUACGAGAAAUCCCAGGAUCAUCAGCUUCCCACCGAAUAUCUUCAGGAGAUAUCUAUAUCAUUAGAAGGAACAACAACAAUUAGCAAAAAGCAAUCGGGAAAUGAGCUCACAAGGAAAAUCACAAACACAAUCUAAUGGGCCACAAGGUCCACAACCCAUUACAAUGUCAGUACAAUGUUAAGCAAGUAUUUGAUGUUCAUCCCUACUUUCUCCACAUCCCAAGGACAAAAAGUGAAAACUAAAAACUAAAUAGUUAUCAAACGGACCCAUGGUAAAAUAUAUAAGAACACUGCUCAGUAUCAAAAAGCACAAACUUUUGAUAUGAAGAUUUACAUGGUGAUAAUGAGGUAACUCAAAAUCAAUCUGCAAUCGUAGCUUUAUUAUGAAUAAAAUGGUUAAGGAAUUGAAAAACUUAGCAUAGAGUACAGAUUUAAGUUUAAAUAAUUGCAAAAACAAGCACAGAAAAGCAAAGUACCUCAGAUUCUCCUGAAGUGCUAUAAACCCGCGCAAACUCAUUUGUCAUAAUGUGCAAAAACAAAAAGCAAAAACUUUGAUUUUUGAGAUUUCAAAUUUAAUUAUUUAUGAGAUAAAGAAUAUAUCUUUGAUAAACAAAAGGAUUAAAGGCCUACGAAAGAAACAUCAAUAGCAGUAUACCUCUUUUAGAUUGACCCAUUCCCAUGUCUCAUCCACUGUACCAAUAUCAUAAACCAGAGCAUGUAGACCCUGUCAACAUUUGAGAAUUGUUAGAAUUCACGAAGAUUUAUAUUGGAGUUGCGUGGUCAAAACUGCUAAAUUAAAAAAUGCUUACUCAGGUUCAGAUGAAUUCACAGCAAAAGCAUACCUCAGCACGGUUGAAAUUAGUUAUAACAGCCUCAUAGAAGUGAUUGUCUUCAGGCCACCUUGUCCAAACUUUUCUUCCUACUAACGGAUCAUCAGUUUCUCCCUCAGCAGGCUCAUUUUCCACAAAGGCACCGGUAGGACCUCGAUUAGUGGCUUGGGGCCUUCCAGGAAUAUUUGCAGAAGGGUACUGUGUGGACUUCAAAAGCAGGCAACAAACUCCAUUAGAAAAGAACAGGGAAAAACAAAUCCAAGAAUAUAUAAAUAGCAUUGCACCAUUUUCUUAACCCAGGAUUAUUUCAACUUACAGAUUUUGGUUUCUUGUUCCGAGGUCCUGGAGGAGGACCUCGUCUCAAAGCUGCAGAGGAUUGUUGCAUGGAUGGAGGCAACGCAGGAGUUGCAGCACCGAGGGAUAAGGACUGUGAUGUUUUCUGUUUCUUGCGUGAUGCUGAAACAGUUGGACUAGGCAGGGGGUCAUGAACAGGCUGAGCAGCAUUAAGUGUACCAUGUUGGACCCCACUUGUUUUUCUCCAUUCCCUAAUAGCAUAUAGUAAAACAUUUCUCAUAAAAAAAUGCAGAGCUAUCCAAAUGUCUUUGCUGCUCAAACCAACAUGGCAUAAUAUAAUCAGACCUUAAUCUCUGGAUCAUGUCAUCGGCAUUGACCCUGGACAAAAGUUCUCUGUGUUCCUCAUCAGAUACUCUCAGCUCCUUUCUAAGUUCCGUAAUUAAAGUUUCCUUAUCCUGUAAAGUACAUAAGAACUGACUUUCAGGCCUAAGUUAACACAAUCAUACUUUUGAUCCAAAAGAAAAGCGGAAGAAAAACUACGAAUAAUUAAUCAAACAGCUACCCAGGUGAGGGCAUCAGAUUGAGCACUAAACGCCCUUAGAACUGAACAGUAUGCUUCUUGCUCAAUGCGGUGAAUCUGGAUUUCCAUGUCACCAUGCAUCCUAGAUAAUGGAGCAGAACCGACGGCUGCUGACCUUCCAUUCCCAGAAGUUCGGCCUCCUCUUUGAAACCUAUUUUGAUGAGACGGCGGAAGGUCAUCAUCCGUUCCUGCAAAUGUUUCAGAACAUAGCAAAACUAUUAUUUCUAGCUUCAGUAACAAGUCUAUUAGGUCUUUCAAGUGCAUUGCAAUAGGAAACCAUGGAAUCCUUUUCAUUUCUAAGGGCCUUGUCCCCACGAUAGCCACCUUUUUCAGUUAUAUGCAUGCAACAUAUUUAGCAGGCAGUUUCUUGUAUCUGUGCCUCAUAAAGUAUGCACAAACUAUAUGUAUAUAGAAAUACAGAUCUUAUAUUCCAGACAAACCACGUAAGAAUGCACUCCUUCCUCAAAGUGUCGUGACACUAGUGAAAAAGGAACUAAAAUUGUAAAUCACACCAACAUUUUCUGAUAAUACAGAUGAUAGGUUCUAGAUGCAUGCACAGUCCCCUAAAAAUGUUGCUUUAGCAUCCAAGAGUAGUACCAAUGUUAAAUAAACAAGAAAAAGGAAAAAGAAAGAUACCUUGGUUACAAUGUUAAAUAUUUUGCUGAUUCGGAAAAAUAACUAUUGCUUUUCUCAUUGUUGUCAUGCAACAGAACAAAACAGCUUUGCAGGUAUUUAUAACAGAAACAUAAUAACUCUCAUGCUCAAAAUGCAUCUUUCACUAUUCCGACACUAAACUAACGCAUCCUUUUGUUAAAAUAUGUUAAACUAAUAUAAGCCAUAAUUUUCAGCCUUAAUUGCCAACUUUUCUGAAUAAAACAAACCAACGACAAACACACAAAACGUGACCAAUAUAUCAAGAACUCUUAACUUUACGCCGAUCUGUUACUUUUCUCGCACCAUCAGCCUUUUUCUCCUAUGCGGUGACCUUGGCUAGAAACGGAAUAAUCGGACCUAACUACCAUUGACAAAAUUCCACAGAGGACAGUUACAAGUGACUUUUCUCAAAGGAUGAAACUGAAACAAUUCCAAGCACUAUUCACAAAAAAGUAAAUAUCAUUCGGGCGUCCAUCCAGUGUUCAGAAUGCAAGGCACAAAAUUUAAAACACCAAGCAAGACCAACUUAAAGACGGGAAGAAUGGGAUUUCCCGAAUCAGAAUCAAUCUCCAGAACAUAAUGACACCAAAGUGGAAGAACUUGUAGCUCUUACAUGGUGCUUCCAAACCAACUUAUACAAACUAAAAGAAAGAACAAAGCCAAAAACAAAAUCCUAGUACCUCCGAGCACAAGCCGGGUACACUACAUUACAAUUAAAGCCAAAGCACAAGCCGGAACAAAAGCCAAACUACAUUACAAUAAACUUUCUUCGAAUUCAACCAUGGUAGACCAAAGUAGUACAAAUUCAAGGAAAUCCCACAAAAACAAUGAAUUCACAGUAAAAAACACAUCAAAAGCAGUAAUCAAACCCAAAUUCACGAAUUUGAGUCAAAAUUACUCUGAGAACCAAUAAAUUACACAUUAGAAAAACAAAAAUACAUAAAAAUCAAAAUUGAAAAACAGAUAAGCAAAUUCAACUUAGCUUACCACUGCUAUCUGAGAGUUCGUAGUCCAUCACCGCUCCUAACCAAGACUUUCGCUAAAACCCUAGCAAACCCACGUCAACCCCGAUCAAUUCAGCAAACCCACGUCGGAAAUUCGAUCAAUUUCAUCGAGAACUUGAACUUGUACCUACUGGUACCCUCCAAAACAGAUAAAUUCGCAAAAUUUGACCCAAUUUUAGGACAGUACGGUCCCAAAACCUCAAAGAAGUUGAAAUUAGGGCCCCAAUAGUGGUGACGAUCGAUUGACGUCAAUGGGAGCGAAAUGGGAAUGGAAUACCUGUUCUAAUUGUGGGGCGUAACUAGAAUUUCGAAGAGUUGUGGGGUAAAAAGAGUGGGAAUUGGACUUGGAGUGUGAAUUCGAAGAAAUUGAAUUCCGGCAGAGGGAUUGAAGAUUGGAGAUAGGGAGGGAGGGAAGUCGCGGACUUCAAACUAGUUCUUGUGGCGACCUAAUUUUUUCAGUUAAUAAUUCAGUUUCAGUUCCGUGUUUCCUAUUGGCUGAUGGUUUUUCUCUUACUUAUGUUAUUUCUCAUACACACCUUUGUCAAAUUUUAUUAUUUUAUUUUUUGAUCCGAUGAUUGAAAUUUUGAGAAAAGUGUGUGAGAAGUAAAAAUGAGUAUGUAGAUAGCAUUAUCUUCUUUUUUUUCGAGUACACACCUGGCGCUCAAAUGUAGGUCUCACAUAUGAGCCAUGUUAGUUAACAAACUAAGCACCAGUUUGGAAUUGAUGUGCUUUAAAAAAAAAACUACCUCUCAUGUUCUUUGAGAUAAUCAACUAUAAAAUAAACCAGUUGAAUGUUUGAUAAACUGUAUUUUUUAAAAGUUUGUGAGUAUGAAAAGUGGUGUACAAGCGUGGUACAUAAUGAUACAACAUACAUUGUAUGGAGGUGGUGGCAACGACAAAGAUGACAAGGUAGUUGCAGUGAUGACACCGACAAUAGUGGGGGUGUAUUGGUAGCACCAUAAUAGAGUGGUUGGAUUGUAGAGAUGGCAGCGAUAGUGGCUACGAUUAUAGUGUUACUAGUGUGACAACGGUGGUGGUGGUGAUGGCGGCAGUGUUGUAGGUUGGUGGAUGUAGUCAUAGGUUGUGGUGAUGACAGUGGUAGCAAUGGCAGUAGCAUUGGCGAUGUGGGCCUGCGGGGGUGAUGGUUAUGACAAGAACAAUUGUGAAAGUAUGGUUGGGUAUCAAUAGCAAAGAGUGGUGGUUUGGAGUAUAGAUUACAAUGGUGGUAGAGGGGUGGCAAUAGUGAUGGCGGUAGUGAUGGCAGUUUUGGUUAUGGUGGCAACAGUGGUAACGAUUAUGGCGACGGUAAUGAAAACAAUUGACACACUCAACCCAAUUAACCAUUAGACUAAGGGUAGAGAUUGUUGACCAUCACCAUAGUGGCAACAAAGCCAUAAGUAGAGUUUUAAAAGUGUGAUAAUUAGAACCAACAAGUUAAAUUAAUUAAAAGCAACUAAAAUUAUCCAGCAAAAAACGUAAAACUACAAACAACCUCUCCACUUGAGACACAAUAGGGUUUUUCUCUUUGAAUACAUGUUACAAGUUCAGAGUAUAACAGUAGUAAAUGCAACAGUGUUUGCAACCAAUCAUGCAUUGUGCAAAUGCAAUCAUAGAUUUGAUUAUUUAUUAAGAAAAACUAAUGAAAAAUGUUUGAAAACUUUAAGUUUUAACGAUAAUGACAAAAUAAAUAGUAAAAUGAAUAUACUAUGAUGACUUUUUAAUGUAAAAAUGUGAUUUUUCGCUAAAAUAAACAAUACAUGAGCUUUUCGUUAAAAUUUUCUAUUUAUUAAUAAGUAAGAUCACCUUACUCAUAUCCUAGUGAGAGAUGCAUUACUGCCAAGCUCGCUCAUAGUCGUCAAUUGCUGCUUUUCUCACUAAAUUUCGGGAGGAGGGGAGGAGGAUAAUGUGUGGGUGAAUCAUAGUCAUUUAUUACUAUGCAUAUAUAUAUAUAUAUAUAUAUAUAUUUUUUAUUUAUUUAUGUUAGUUUGAAUUUUUUUUUUUUGAAAUUGUUUUAUUUUAUGACAAAAUUGUACUUUUAAGCAAAAAAAAAACCCCAAAAUUUUAUUUAACAGAAGAAAAAUGCAGAUCAUUUCGCAUUUCUCCUCACUCUCCUCACUUCCCCUCCCUCGCCUCGCUCUCUCCACCGCCCUCAACUUCCGCCGUCGCCCAUCCAAAUUCCCAUUUUACCCCUCCAAUCACUUCGAAAUUCCCAGGCUGCCCCUCCUCGCAUGCAACCUCAGCUGCGGCCGCAGCCAACGGCAAGCACCCAUGGACUCACCCACGCCGCAGGCCGCCGCGUCGGUCGACUCCGUGACGCAUGAUUUUCAGAAUCAGAGCUUGGCCAGCGACGGCGGCGAUGAGAAGAUUUGCAAGAAUGAAAGCAACGGUGUAAGUAACACUCAGAGGGUUAGGUUGAAGCUCGAAGAUCUGAAUUGGGACAACUCAUUUACCAGAGAGCUGCCUGGUGAUCCUCGGACCGAUACGAUUCCGCGAGAGGUUAGCUUGUUUUUCUGUUCUGUUUUGAUGUUUGGGUUAUUUUCUGUUUGGUUGCUGAGAAAUGGAGGAAAUGAAAGUGUAUAAUGUAUGUUGGGUGUGUGUUUGUUACUAGCUAAAGGCUUUCACUUGCGUUUUUGUUUCGUAACCAAUCGGAGAAGUUGUUGACUUUAAUCAUAAAUGCUUAGUAAAUUGUAGUUGCUCAAUCGAGAAAUGACCAAGUAAUUUACGAUUUGUGUGUUGUGAACUGGGUUCUGUUUGGUUCCUGAGAAAGUGGUGGAAAACCAAAUAAGAAAUUGGAACAUAUGUGGGUUCUGUGUGUGUACUAGUUAAAGGCUUGCAUUUACUCUUUUGUUUCAUGCCCAAAUCAGAAAAAUUGUUAAAUUUAUGCAUAACUGCUUUGGAAUUUGUACUUACUCAAUUGAGAAAUUGCUGAGUGGCUGACAGUUUGGGUGUUGUUAGUUGGGUUAGUUUAAUUUGGCUAUGGAACUGUACCAUUGAUAGGUUUGAUUGUGAUUUCAUAUCUUGCUUUGAGCUCCUUUGAUUUUUACUAGCUGAGGGGGUGAUGGCGAUGCGUUGUAAUUAGAAUCGUGGAAGUCCAAGAGCUCGUUCUUAUCGAGUUCACUUAAUUUGGCUAUGGAACAGUGCCAUGAUAGUGUUUAUUGUGAUAGAUCUCUUGCUUUGUGCUAUAAUUUGAAAUUUUUACUAGCUGAUGGGGUAUUAUGUUGUAAUUUGAUGUUAUGCAUUCUGGGUUUUGAUUAUCAGGUAUUGCAUGCUUGUUAUACGAAAGUGUCCCCGUCUGCUGAAGUUGAAAAUCCUCAGCUUGUUGCAUGGUCAGAAUCUGUUGCUGAGUUUCUUGAUUUGGAUCCUAAAGAGUGAGUGUUCUUGUUUCUUGUGCUCCUGGGAACAUCAACUGUUAAUGCUUUUAUAGAACGUGGAUGAGAAAAUAAACUUUAUCUUCAGAGUGUUUGGUGGUAUCAGAAAGAAAAACUGGUGUUUGACAGCAUAUAUUAUGGAUAAUGGUUUUGAUGGUCCUUGGAAGUUUGAACCUGAAUCUGUUUCUACCUCUACACAAGAACCUUAUGGUUGGUACUUUAGGAAAUUAGAUCAGUGUGUAAAUAACAUGACACUACUAUUAUAACUUGUAAGUGGACGUAUGGUAAAUUAGUCCCCCAGAUAAUUUAUACAUUUGGAGUUGCUAAAUUUUCACAUGUUUGUCAAGAUUCGUGUUAUUGAUUGAAAUUUUCUUUUCUUCGAGUUCUGAUAUUUAGCUGAGGCUAUUGUUUCCUUUGUACAUGUAUUUUGCAUCUUGUAUGACUGCUUUGGUUUUGGACUUGCUGUUACUAAACCUUGACUGAUAUACCAUAGUACUUCACUCGGAUGAAUGAUGAGUACAUAUGUUUUGCACAUGUGGUAUGUCAUGUUUCAUGGGACUAAUUUGCCACCUUAUUUGGAGUUACAGAUUUGAAAGGCCAGAUUUCCCUCCUUUAUUCUCUGGGGCAUCUCCCUUGGUGGGAUCGUAAGUGCUUCUCUGAAUAUUAUGUUAUGAGACUCACAUUUGUGCUUGUCAAUUUUCAUCAACAACUGGAUCGUAACUGCUUUAUUUAUGCAGGUUACCCUAUGCUCAAUGCUAUGGUGGACAUCAAUUCGGCAUGUGGGCUGGACAGUUGGGAGAUGGGCGGGCUAUUACUCUUGGGGAGGUUCUUAAUUCUAAGUCUGAAAGGUGGGAACUUCAGCUUAAAGGUGCUGGAAAGACUCCUUACAGUCGGUUUGCAGAUGGCCUUGCGGUGCUUCGUAGUAGCAUUCGGGAAUUCCUUUGCAGUGAAGCAAUGCAUAAUCUUGGAAUUCCAACAACACGAGCUCUCUGUCUUGUGACAACAGGAAAAUUUGUCACACGUGACAUGUUCUAUGAGUAUGUUAAUUAGAACUCUAUGCAAUUAGUAUUUUUCUACCUAAUCAUGUUUUACUACGAGAACCAUACACCAUCUUUACUGGAUAAUUUCUCUUUGGUCUUUGAGAUAUAUGAACCUUCUUGGUUUGAUCUUAUGCUAAGAUAUCAAUAUCUUGCUCGGGGAAAGGAUGAAUUUUUUAGGAAUAUAUGUUCUUCUUAUUCUCUUCUUAAAAAUAAAUUCCUCAUGUCUUCAUUUGCAGUGGCAAUCCAAAAGAGGAGCCUGGUGCAAUUGUUUGCAGGGUUUCUCCAUCCUUUCUGCGUUUUGGGUCAUACCAAAUACAUGCCUCUAGAGAAAAGGAGGACCUUGAAAUUGUUCGUGCUCUUGCAGACUAUGCCAUUAGGCAUCACUUUCCUCAUAUAGAGAACAUGAGUAGAAGCGAGAGUUUAUCUUUCAACACAGGCAACGAAGAAGUUCUUGAUCUGACAUCUAACAAGUAUGCAGGUAAUCAUUUUUUCUUUGGAGUAAAGGUGUUGGUGCUGGUACCUUAAUUUACUUUCAAUAAGCCAGGAUAAACUAUUUCUUAUUGUGGAAGCGUAAUGAAUCAAAAGGCUUUGUUGUUGUUGUUGGAAGCGUAAUGAAUCGGAACUUCAGUUUACAAGUGCUGUAUAAGUUUACUGGUCAUAAAUUUCUCAUGUUGUGCACCUUCCUAUGGUCUUAUCCCAUGGCAUUAUGGUAGUUUAUUUUUCAUUUUUGUCCAGAAAAAUUGUUUGGGUUGAUUUAGGAUUGAAGCAUUUAUUUAGGAUUUAGCUUCCAUACAUUUUCUUCAUGUAUGCCUGCAUUCGCAAUUAUAGGAGUUCACUUUUCUUUUUUCUUCUUUAGAAAAAACCAUUUGGAUUGACGUAGAUGCCAAACACCUAUUUAGUACACUCAGUUGACAGUUGCAGAGUCCUAAUUGGUUCAGUAGUUUUGUAGGAAGUUUUGUAUUCUGGCCAAGUUAGUAGUGUGGUGAGCUCCCAUAUCGGGCAUGGAAAAUGAUUAAGAUGGGAUGGUAUCUCUCUUGUAUGCAAUGUACACUUUGGACUAAUAAAGAUGGCUUCAGGUUCUGUUAAAAGCUAAUACAAUUAGGGACGAAAUAUCUUGUUUCAAAGUUGCAUCCAUAUAGUUUCUUCAUGGAACUGAGUGAAGACUCAAAUCAGAUGUCUGCUGUUGAUACUGCGGUCCAUGCUGGAGCACAUUACUCAGGGACCAUCUUAUUAUAUUAAUAGAACUUAGUCAUUGUGUUUCACAGAAUGAAAAAAAGAAAAGAAAAGAAAAGAAAAGAGAUGAUUUGAUGCAUCACUAGUUUCUAUUUAGCUUGUAAAGUUUUAGUGCUAAAUAUGUUAGUGCUAAGGUUUGUGCAAAAUGUGGUUACGAAUAUUGUACUGAACCUUGGUCUUUUCUCUCAUUUACCCUUACUGCCACUCUGAAAAUAGUUUCUGAUAGAUGUCUUGCACAUCAUACUUAAUUAACCGUUUUUCUGAACUUUUGCUCCCAUCAUGGUUUUUAAACAGCUUGGGCAGUAGAGGUUGCUGAGCGUACUGCUUCCUUGGUUGCCAGAUGGCAGGGGGUUGGUUUUACUCACGGUGUGUUGAACACUGACAAUAUGAGCAUUUUGGGUCUUACCAUCGAUUAUGGUCCUUUUGGAUUUCUGGAUGCAUUUGAUCCAAGUUACACGCCGAAUACCACGGAUCUUCCUGGGAGGAGAUAUUGUUUUGCAAAUCAGCCAGAUAUUGGCUUAUGGAAUAUUGCACAAUUCACUAGAACUCUGGUAGCAGCCAAGUUGAUUGAUGAUAAGGAGUCGAAUUAUGCAAUGGAAAGGUAAUUGUCAUUCCUACACCUCUAUCCUAAUUAAAUGUAUGUUGAAGUGGGAGUUAAUUUUCAUUUUUCGGGGGAUUUUUAUAGAUAUGGAACCAAGUUCAUGGAUGACUAUCAAGCUAUAAUGACCAAAAAACUUGGUCUCCCCAAGUACAUUAAACAGCUGAUCAGUAAACUUCUGAAUAACAUGGCCAUCGACAAAGUGGAUUACACAAACUUUUUUCGGUUGCUAUCCAAUAUCAAAGCUGAUCCCAACAUUCCCGAAGAGGAGUUGUUGAACCCACUGAAGGCUGUUCUAUUAGAUAUUGGGCAGGAGCGAAAGGAGGCAUGGAUCAGCUGGGUGAAAAUCUACAUAGAGGAGGUAUGAUGAACUCUGGUUUUCUUAUGACUUCCAUCUCGGAAAAGUAUACUGGUUCGAUACCAACAUUGUAUUCAUCAUAAACAUUGUUUUCGUUCAGAAUAUUGUUAAACUCAUCCAGUGGCUAGAUUCUCGUCAAAAGCGAACAUUAUGUCAUCUGAUUUUCUCACAAAUUAUAGUUUUUGCUUGUGCAGCUGGCCAGUAGCGGCAUCUCCGAUGAGGAGAGGAAGGCAUCAAUGAAUGCAGUGAACCCUAAAUAUGUUCUCAGAAACUACCUAUGCCAGAGUGCCAUUGAUGCAGCUGAACAAGGUGAUUUUGAGGAGGUUCGGAGGGUGCUUAAAGUAAUGGAACGACCAUAUGAUGAGCAACCGGGAAUGGAGAAAUACGCUCGCCUGCCCCCGGCGUGGGCUUAUAGGCCUGGAGUUUGCAUGCUAUCUUGCUCUUCAUGAGUUUGAUUAUCUAAUUACAAUGUUAUAUAGAUGGCAAAACGAGAUUUUUGUUUCGUUUUUCCUCGACAGAUUAUCUUCGGUCAUGUCAUAGUAAGUUGUCGUAUAUAAUAGUCAAAUUCGGGGGUUCUCCUCUCCUUCGUUUACCUUCGACGAUGAAAUAAAGUGGCAAUGUCGUAUGAUUCUGGUUUCUGAACAAUUUAUACAGCUUACAGAAAUGCAAGAAAAACCAGCUCAAAUGGAACAUGGUGCUGAAAGAUUGGCCAUGAGGCCAUCUCCAAUCGAUCUGAACAAAGGGUCAUAUAGCUAAAAAUAACUUGGAAUGACACGAAAACCGUCUUCAACCGAGGGUUAGGCCAAAGGGCAUUUGGGUCCUAUCGGGCCAAAACCCCCAAAUUAGGCCAAUGGGUUGGCCAUUUCUAGUUAGUCAGCCAAUCAUCCAGCACCAAAAUGUCAAACUUCAUAUUUUGCCAGCUCUCCAACUUAGCCCAUUUAAAAUUUGAAUGCCAACGGCUACCUGGCAUCAGCAUGACGCCAGCUAUCAACGACUAGUAGAUAUCAUGCUGUCGUCAGGUUACCAUUAGAAUUUGAUUUUUUUUAUUUUUUGAAUGAAUUAAAAAAAAAUCCUAUUUUUUUUCUCAUAAAUACCUAAGUUUCUUACACCAUUUCUCACAUACUUUUCACCAUUCCGUACUAUCUUACCUCAUUUUAUUUCAAUUCUUCACAUUCUAUUCUCUUACCUCUUCCAAUUAAUCUUUCCUUUAAUUAUUUCAAAAAUUUUCAAAUGACCACAUCUGCAAUGAAAGGAAGGGCUUGGACCUAAAAAGAAGAUGAAGCUCUUUGCAAGGCUUAUGGAUGGGUCUCUGAAGAUAGUGUCAAGGGUAGUUCUCAAACAAGUGAAGGCGUUUGGACUCGUACAUCCAAAAAGUACUAUGAGUUCUACGAAGAUAUCACUCCACCGAAUCCCCGGAACCACGAGAGUUGUUCUUCAAGAUCGAAAACAACACAAUCUUCAUCCUAGUACUACUUGGGGGAGUUACAACAUUAAACAAAAAUAGAUCAGAAUGACACGAAAAUCGUCUCUAAUCGAGGGCUAGGCCAAAGGGCUUGUGGGCCCCACUGGUCCAAAACCCCCAAAUCAAGCUAGUGGGCUGGCCAUUUCCAGCCAACCAACCAGCCUUCCAGCGCCAGAAUGUCAAGAUUAACAUUUUGCCAACUCUCCAGCGCCAAAAUGUCAAGCUUGACAUUUUGCCAGCUCUCCAGCUCAUCCCAUUUAAAUGUCAACGGCUACCUGGCGUCAGUAUGACGCCAACUAACAAUUACUAGCUGAUAUCAUGUUGCCGUCAGGUUACCGUUGGAAUUUGAUUUUUUUUUUUUGGACUGAUUUAAAAAAAAAUAUCUAUUUUUUUCCUAUAAAAACCUAAGCCAUUACUACACCAUUUCUCACAUAUUUUUCACCAUUAAUUUUUUUCCUAUAAAUACCUAAGCCAUUACCACACCAUUUCUCACAUACAUUUCACCAUUUUAUACUAUCUCAUCUCAUUUUAUUUCAAUUCUUCACAUUCUAUUCUUUUACCUCUUCCAAUAAUUUUUCCUUUAAAUUUUUCAAUAAUUUUCAAAUGGUCACAUCUUCAAUGAAAGGAAGAGCUUGGACCCGAAAAGAAGAUGAAGCUCUUUGCAGGGCUUAUAGAUGGGCCUCGGAAGAUAGUGUCAAGGGUAGUUUUUAAACAAGUGAAGGUGUUUGGAUCCGUACGUCCAAAAAGUACUAUGAGUUCUACGGAGGCACCACUCCACCGAAUCCCCGGAAUCACGAGAGUUGUUCUUCAAGAUGGAAAACAACACAAUCUCCACCCUGGUACUACUUGGGGGAGUUAUUCUAACUUAAACAACAUUAAACAAAACAUUUAACAACAUAAAUUUUAGGGAAUCUCCAACCGACCUAGUCAAAGGGCUAAAAAUAGCUCAGAAUGACACGAAAGGUGUCUCCAAUCGAGGGCUAGACCAAAGAGCUUGUGGGCCCCAUCGGGCAAAAACCCCAAAAUUAGGCCAAUACGCUGGCCAUUUCCAGUCAUCCAGCCAUCCCUCUAGCGCCAGAAUGUCAAGCUUGACAUUUUGCCAGCUCUCCAGCUCAGCCCAUUUGAAUGCCAACAACUACCUGGUGUUAGCAUUAUGCCAGCUAGCAACGGUUAGCUGAUGUCAUGAUGUCAUCAGGUUAACGUUGGAUUUGGAUUUAUUUUUGGACGAAUUUAAAAAAAAAUUCUAAUUUUUUUCCUAUAAAUACCUAAGCCAUUUCUACAUCAUUUCUCACAUACUUUUCACCAUUCCAUGCUAUCUUACUUCAUUUUAUUUCAAUUCUUCACAUUCUAUUCUUUUACAUCUUCCAAUAAUUUUCCUUUAAUUUUUUCAAUAAUUUUCAAAUAGCCACAUCUACAAUGAAAGGAAGGGCUUGGACCCGAAAAGAAGAUGAAGCUCUUUGCAGGGCUUAUAAAUGGGUCUCGGAAGAUAGUGUCAAAGGUAGUUCUCAAACAUGUGAAAACGUUUGGACUCGUACGUUCAAAACGUACUAUGAGUUCUACGAAGACACCACUCCACCGAAUCCCUCGAACCACGAGAGCUAUUCUUCAAGAUGGAAAAUAACACAAUAUCCAUCAUAGUAUUACUUGGGGGAGUUAUGCAACAUUAAACAAAACAUUUAAUAAUAUAAAACUUAGGUCAUCUCCAACUGACCUGACCAAAUGGUCAUAGGGCUAAAAAUAGCUCGGAAUGACACGAAAAACGUAUCUAACCGAGGGUUAGGCCAAAGAGCUUGUGCGCUCCACCGGGCUAAAACCCCCAAGUCAGGCCAGUGGGCUGGCCAUUUCCAGCCCACCCUCCAGCGCCAGAAUGUCAAGCUUGACAUUUUACCAACACUCCAACGCCAGAAUGUCAAGCUUGACAUUUUACUAGCUCUCCAGCUCAGCUCAUUUGAAUGUCAACGACUACCUGGUGUCAACAUGACUCCAGCUAGCAACGGCUAGCUGAUUUCAUGUUGCCGUCAGGUUACCAUUUGAAUUUUUUUUUGACGAAUUAAAAAAAAAACAAAAAAUCUAAUUUUUUUUUCCUAUAAAUACCUAAGUCAUUCCUACACCAUUUCUCACAUACUUUUCACCAUUCCAUACUCUCUUACCUCAGUUUAUUUCAAUUCUUCACAUUCUAUUCUCUUACCUCUUCCAAUAAUCUUUCUUUUAAUUUUUUCAAUAAUUUUCAAAUGGCCACAUCUGUAAUGAAAGGAAGGGCUUGGACUCGAAAAGAAGAUGAAGCUCUUUGUAGAGCUUAUAGAUGGGUCUCGGAAGAUAAUGUCAAAGGUAGUUCUCAAACAAGUGAAGGUGUUUGGACUCAUACGUCUAAAAAGUACUACGAGUUCUACAAAGGCACUACUCCACAGAAUUCCCGAAACUACGAGAGUUAUUCUUCAAGAUGGAAAACAACACAAUCUUCACCCUAGUACUACUUGGAGGAGUUAUUCAAACUUAAACAACAUUAAACAAAACAUUUAACAUCAUAAAACUUAAACGUCUACUCCAUUAAUUUUUUUUUUUGCCCAAAGAUGUGGAAUAAGAUUAUGUUGUAGGUACUUAUUUGUAGCACGCAAAUGUAUCAUCAUAUGACACCUCAUGUACUCAUUUAAAGAGAUAUUACCAAUUAUUGGAUCCAAAGACAAAUUAGGCCCAUCAUAUAUUUUCGCAUCAGCUGGGGAGACAUAGGCCAACAUUCGAAGUGCAAUAGUAAACUUUUGAUGAGAUGAGAAACUUGGGCAGCCUGCUCUAUCCAUCUUCUGUUGAAAGUAUGGAUUGACAUGUUGGAUAUCAUGAAGUAAACGCCCGAAGACACGAUGCCUCAUUGGGAAGCGACGUCUGAAAUCCUCUUCUGUGUACAUCGAGUUGGAGUUGAAAUAGUUGUUCAUCAGUGUCUCAUGCGUGAUCUCUCUAUUUCGUGAUUUGUAAGAGUGACCACCAACAAAGCCACCCCAUUGAGGUUGUUCUUAAGUUUCCUCACACACCAAUGACCCCAGCCCUUGCUGCCAUAUAUGUUGUGUUGCGCCAUGCUUCAUUUUCUUCAUCGGGCUCCUCAUCUUCUCAUCUCAUAUGCGCCCAUUUAUCUUCCUAUCCGAAAAAUUAUUAAGAUUACAUAAAGAUAAGAAAUAUGAAGAGUUACUAAAGUUAUAAAAUAAUGGAUUAUGUUUGGCCUAUGGUCUUUUGGCCCCCUCGGUUGGAGAUAUUUUUUGUCAAAUGACUAUGUUUGGCUUAUGACCCUUUGGCCCCCUAGGUUGGAGUUGGUAUAAAAUAUGGCAUGAAAUAGUUCAUUAAAAUAUAAUUCCUUGCAGAGCUGUAGGGUUAAAGGGAGCCAUUUGGCUCUCCUUCGGUUGGAGAUGGCCUAAGAUAGCUGUAUGGUAGGAUGCACAUAUGAAAAAAAUAAUAAUAGACAAUUGGCACUUUUUUAAAGGUACUUCAAACCAUAAAAUUUCACGAGGAAAUAACUUUUGAUGAUAUCUCUGAGUUUAAAUUUCAUGGUUGAUGAUUAUCAAAUCAACUGAAAACUUUAAAGAGGAAUAAAGCUUUGACAAUUUAGAUUUGAGACUAAUGCGAUGCAGCAUGUGCUUAUAACUCAAGUGGUUAACAAUUUAAAUUAUCAUCUACACUUAUGUGUUUGAAUCUUUCGAGCAUGUUUACUUUUUAAAAAUGCGUAUUCUUACCAAACCUUAAAAAAAAAAAAAAAAAAAACCAUCUACAGUUCUCUGGUUGAAAGUUCCUGGAUGUGUGCCUUUUAACAGUAGCUAUAGCCUUUUUCCAGAUCCAUUUCCACCUAAUUCACCAAGUUCGUGAUCUGGAUCGUUGAAAUUUGAUCAAACGGCUACAAACAAAGAGCCUCUUUAAAAAUUAUAAUAACAGUAGCCGUUAUAUCAAAUUUCAACCGCUCAGAUUGCGAUCUUAAUGGAUCAGGUGGAAAAGGUUGGACCUCAUUAGGAUCAGGUGGAAAAGGUUGGGCCUCUUUAGGGAUUAGUCAUACUUUUUAAGGUUUGAGAUACCUCAGGCUUCGGCAUAAAAAAGAACAAAAAGUAAACAUGCCAGCAAAGUCUAGAAGUGAAACGCUGCGUUGAACUCUAGAAGAUUAGAUUGCGGAAAGUGCUGUCACAGUCAGCAAAGUCUGGUUGGCUCGGAGCUUCUCAAUCUCUCUGCAGUGGCUGGUCCAGCUUUCGUAAGACUCUUAAUUUUGUUCUUAAUUUUUGCUCUUUGAAUUGCUUGAAUCAAUGAAUCCACCCUCAACAUUUGACGCCCAUUAACUGUUCGAUGAAAUGCUGCUUCGAAUUUGAUAUGAUUGGUAGUGUGAAUUUUGAAUCUUUGGCUACUAUGAAUCUACGAACUCAAGCUUAACAUUUGAUGCCCAUCAUCUGUUUGAUAAAAUGCCGCUUACAUAAUAGCCUUUGAAGAGCAUUGGGUUUAUUCCAGUUUCCGUUUUGGUUGUAGCUCUGGCCAAAGUGAGCUGCCAUGGCACCCCAAUUGUCAAACUUUAGUCUUUCUGUGUAUGUUUGAACCUAAAUUCUAUGUGCAGAGAACGGACAUGUAUCGACGUUGUGGAAGUUGCAUCGAUGACCAUAACGGAUGUCCGGUCCAUACAAGCAUUUGAGUGAUUCGCACUUAAUUCUCCAGCAACUUAUAAUGUGCCAAUACUUAUUCCUUCAUUUAUAGAAACAAGAGGACAAGUGUGCUCAAAUUCGUAUAUCAUCCAUUUGAUAUGCUGUGAAGUCAUUGUGUUUUCGCUUUUCUUUCGGAAACUUAUGUCCUGCUUUAUCAAGUUACACCUGGAAGUUGAAUUCUUAUCGACUUGUAUCAUGCUUUAACUGUAAAGUUUGUGACUUGGAAUAAGCGAUGUCACCCUUCCCUCGGUUUUUUUAUCUAACAUGCUAAUCAUUUCUUUAGAGUCUAUAGAAUGCAGUGGAUGCAUGUUGAGUUAAUUUCAUGUGACGAUAAAACUAAGAUGCAUAAUUAGUUUAUACUGUGAUCUACAGGAAAUGAGAGUUCCGCGAAGUCUUGAGGUCUUGAGAAUGGGCUCCAUGAGCUAUCUGGAAGCACUUAAGCUGCAGGAAAAGCUGGUUGCUGAUAGAAAAAUUCAUAAGAUUCCAGAUACUCUAGUGUCCCUGCAACAUCCACCUACAUACACCCUUGGCAAACGACGAACUGAUCACAAUCUGUUGAUUCCUGAGACCGAACUCAAAAGAAUAGGAGCUGAACUGCACUACACACAAAGAGGAGGAGACAUUACAUAUCACGGUCCACAUCAAGCCAUUUUAUAUCCCAUUAUUGCUCUUCGGGAUAUGGGGCUUGGUGCUCGUAAAUAUGUGGAGAAACUUGAGUCAACUAUGAUUGACUUGGCAUCUCUAUAUGGCGUGAAAGCUUGUCCUGGAAAUAAAUGUGAAACGGGGGUUUGGGUUGGAGAUAGAAAAAUCGGAGCAAUUGGUGUACGGAUUUCAUAUGGAAUCACCUCUCAUGGGUUGGCAUUCAACAUUGAUCCAGAUUUGAACUAUUUCAAGCAUAUUGUGCCUUGUGGCAUUGCAAAUAAAGACGUUACAUCAUUGAGAAGGGAGACGGACUUAGCGCUUCCCACCGAAGAAGUAGUUCAGGACCAGUUGAUUUCUUGUUUUGCAAGACAAUUUGGUUAUAGUGAUCUUGUAUGGAAGGAUGCUACUUCAGUAUUGUCAGAGAGCGGGGAAACUGAAUGAGAUUCUACAAUUGUAUGCCAAAAACGAAUAAACGAUGUAAGUUUUAUACUCUUCCAUUCAUUUGUUUGUUAAAACAAUUGAUUUGAAAAUUGCCGGAUUUGUACAUCUUGUAUUAUAAGUAAUGUGGAGAACUAAGCUCAAGUGAUGAGGAAGGGUGGGAAAAUGGGUUUAAGCAUUUGACCACAUCAAAUGUAUCCGAAAAAAUGUAUUGCGAAAUUAAUCUGUUCAGUAAUUUCCGUUCUUGCUUCCUUUUUUUGUCAUCUUUAGCUGGUAAAUUGCUCCUAAUACAGGAUAGUAGCUUGUGGUGAAUCUAUGGUGUUGAAAACUCCUUUCAGCCUCUACACAAAUCCUAACUUGUUUGAUGAUAAAACCAUGCCCUUCCAAUUUGCAUGUUUUACUUCUUCUGUGCUAGGAUAUUUUGCACUAGUAGUCCCCGACUGCCCAUAGUUUCUAUCCCUAUGGUUUUUUCCUUGCAUUUUUUCGUCCUUAUAGUUUCAUUCCUGUCAAAAUGUGGCAAAAUUUCUUCCAAGUUGCAUCUUCAAAUUAGAAAAUGUUGACCAAAUGGAAGGAAAACUCUAACUUAGUUGACGGAUUGGAAUAAAGCAAAAACAUAACGAAAUUACGGGGACGGAAAUGCAAGAAACAAACUUCAUGAUGAUAAUCCUACAGACAGAGAUCUUCUCCCGAUCUCACUGUCCAGAGCUGAAGGAUCAGGUGAUCUUGACCACUCAAAUUGAAUUCAAUGGCCCCUAUUAACUCAUUAUGCUGGCCCACCUCACACAAACCUACGACUCCGAUCUCUCUUUCACACAAAUCGAAGACUCAAAUUCUCUAGUCCUAAAGCUUCGGACAUCAAAAUCCGGAGAGCAUCCAAAUUCAUAUCAUAGUCCAGUUGACAGACCACAUGCUCUCUUUUUUACCUCUCCAUAAAGAUUCUUUAAUCCACGUGUACUUCUGAAUCAAUCAAGCAAAUGGAAAUCUUCCAAAGAAAAAAACUUGACCAGAUUUAUUCAGCAUACAACUCUCAGCAGUUUCAUUGACCAGAUGUUACUCAAAUAACUACAAUUUCCUUCUUCAACCUCCUUCACUAAUUGGUCUUCUGUCUAUACCACGUGAUACGGGCCAAUGACAUGGCUGAUAUAUCUUAUUUUUAGGGUAUUUUAUUAAAAAAAUAAAUACAUUUUUAUAGUUUGAGUAGUUUAAUAAUACUACCUGACAGUGUUCUGAUACAUCAAAACAUCUCUAGAUACGGAAGAAGAAGUUAAUUAUAAAAAUUUGAUGAAAACAUGAUCAAUAAUAGGAGUCUUAGGAGUCGAGAUCAUCUCUGGAUUUCUGUGUCCAGAGUCCAAGAACUCAGAGAUCUGGAUAGUUAAAGAGAGAGAAAGAGAGAUCCGAACACUUGGUUUAUGUGAGGUGUGCCAACGGAAUGGACCAAUGAGGAUCGAGUGAUUUAAAAUGAGUGGUUUGAAUUUUCAAGUUUGUCGGCUUUGGACUCAAGGAUCCGAAGAUCUCAAUUCCAAUAAUAGCACAAAACUAUUAUAAAUAAGGUGUAGAUUAUAAAUUUAUAUUGAUCCCAAAUGGGACUAAUUAUAUUUCAGUGUAAGACUAAUCCAAAUCACAUACUUUAAUAAAAAUAAAUAAAUCAUGGCUAUAUUAGAAAAUGUAUGAGUCAGCUUGAUGGAGUGAUGGGGCUUGGGCAAGUUGAUAAUGGUACUAAAAAUAAAUUGCUCUCUUACUGCUAAAAUCCAUGUUCUCUUUUCAACCCAUUUCUGAAACCAAGAAAAACCAUGUGGCUUCCAAGGGGAAAGAACAAAGCUUAAUAUAAUGCAAGGCUAAGAAAACGAGGACUUUCUUACCAGAGUACGUACUUAAGCGGUUAAGAGUACUUCGCUUCUACACAGACUACACUUGAGAUGUUGUGUUUGGAAUUUUGUAUCUGCCAUUCUAAGUAGUGAUUGCAUCAAGAAAUAUCUUAAGAGAAUUGUGUGGGAUAAAAUGAGUGUGUGGAUAGCAUUAUCAUUUCUAUAUAAAUGGACAGCUAGGUUCAAUUGUUUUAGUUGAAACCAUCGUAUAUGACAAUCUACGUGAUUCUGUAUUUCUUGAGAAAGGAGCUUAGCUUAGCAUAUGUGAAAACUAAGUACUAAUUUGAACGGAUUCUUUAGUGUGAUUGUAACACAGGACAGUACACCACAUGUCAUUAUACAAUUAGAAGAAUAUUUUUAUUUCAAAUGUUCCUCCAAUUAUAUAAUGAUAUAUAAUAUACCGCCUCAUAUUUCAACCACACUAAAAAAUCUCUCACUAAUUUAGAAGGAUAUAAAUAAUAGAUGAAGAAAAAGAAGAUCGGGAAACGUAAAAGUUGGAGGAACAGAAGAGAAGAUGACAGUUCGGUGGAAGAUUAUGGUUGUUUCACGUUUGGAAAGCAAGAUUACACAGCCAUGUUUAGCUGUAUGUUUGUAAUUGUACUACUACUUAAUAUACUAUAUUAGGGUUCGAUUUGGUCUCAUGUGACUCAUCACAUGAACAAAAUAUAUUCAAGUUCUGCAGAUAAGUCAUUGAAACUGACACAACUCACUCAGACUCACAUGAUCAGCUGCUUCCUAGUUCUCACCUGCUGCACGAAAUAUCUCAAAAGGCCAUGUUACUAAGACUAAGAGAUACUGUAGGGUUUUCUAUUAGCAAUAUUAUAGUGUUGGUCACAGACGAUACGAUCAUCGUGCGUUUUAACUUUUUCAUAUAUUAGUAUUGAGAUUGCUCGAAAGUUAUCUUACAUUGUUGAUUGUGGGUCAUGUUAGUAAGACUGAGAGAUACUGUUGGGUUGUCUACUAGCAAUAGUAUAGUUUUGGUCACAUACGAUGCGAUCAUCGUGCGUUUUAGCUUUUUCAUAUGUUAAUGUUGUGAUUUCUUGAAAGUUAACUUACAUUGUUGAUUGUGGGCCAUGUUAGUAAGACUUGAGAGAUACUAUGUACUAGCAUAGCAUAGUUUUGGUCACAGACGAUAUGAUCAUCGUGCGUUUUAACAUUUUCUUAUGUUAGUGUUGAGAUUUCUAGAAUGCUAUCUUACAUGGUUGAUUGUGCGAACUUGACGAUUGGUACUGUAACUUUACGUUUUAUUUAACUGCAACAGCGACGGUCUUGUGGCUCUCAAGUGGCUAAAAGUGUUGGUUCUUAUAAGUUGUAUUGAGGUUUUGUAACAUCCCACAUCGUUCAGGGGAAUGAUCCUUAAAUGUAUAUUUCCAUCCCUAUCUAGCAUGAGGCUUUUUGAGAGCUCACUGGCUUCAGGUUCCAUAGGAACUCUAAAGUUAAGUGAGAAGGAGGCUAGAGCACUCAUAGGAUUGGUGACCUACUGAGAAGUUGUUCGUGAGUUCCCAAAAAUAAAACCGUUAGGGCGUAGUCGGGACCCAAAGCGGACAAUAUCGUGCUACGGCGGUGGAGCGGGCCCAAGAAGUGGUUCGCCCCGGGCGAGGAUGUGACAGGUUUUGUGUUCGGAUCUUCUCUAUAUAACAUUUCUUAUAUCAACAAAAGAAAAACAAAUCUCAUCUAAUGUUGUUAAUGUAUUGACUUUCAAGACGGAUUCGAUUGCCGGAGUUUAUGCAUUUAGGGAAGAUAAAAAGUGGUUCGAAGUGUUCAAACCGGCCAAAUCGGAAACCAAACUAGUCCAUGUGGACCACAUCCUAACAAUGUUGGUUAUGGUAGUGUAUCUGCCAUUUGUAUUAAAGUUCGAAAAACCUUAUCAUAAGUUAGGGUAGAUUAGAAUAUUUCUGCCUUAAGAGAAGAGAUUAAAAAGAAAAAUAUUUGGCCACCAAAUAGGAUCAUGGCAGAGAAUGUUACUUGAGUUUAGAUUGUCUUGUAAGAAUUCUUGCAACCUUUUUCUCAUCCUACAAUGUUAUAUAAUAAUUUGAACCGUCAAUUUUUAUGUUAUCUUUAAAAAAUCAUCUUUCUAAAAGGAUUAAUUAAAUAUGAAGUUCUUUAGUCAUCUAACAAAUGCGACUAAACAUUUAUCUAAUAAACAAACUAUAUUUCUCAUUUAAACCCUAAAAUUUCAACAAUGAUAAUCAAAAGUUUCAAUCAUUUUUAACGUAGUUGAUUUUUUUUUCAAAAUUGAUUCUUUAAGAAUGAGAGAAAUUAAAGGCUCGUAUAAGAAUGUUUUUAAGAGCUGGUUUGAUAUUGCUGUGCUUUGAAAAAAAGCUGCUUUUGUUGUGCUAUGAGAAUAAGCGGUUAUGAAAUAAAGCUGUAGAGUGUUUGGUAAACUUUUUUGUAAAAAUGCUUUUGAAAAAAAAAAACAGUAUUAUAGUGUUUGGUAAACUUUUAUGUAAAACAGAUGUGAAAAAAACCGGUUUUUCAAAGCUAGGUUUUUCAUCUUCUUGUUUUUGGCUUUUUCUCAUCCAAAACUGUGAAAAAAAGCUGAAGUUGAAUGUUUACCAAAUACAAAAAAGCUCCCAGCUUUUUUUGAUACCAGCUUUUUUUAGAAUCACCUCAGUACCAAACCAGGCCUAAAUGACUGAAAAUGAUUUUAGAGAACGUAUUUUUUGGUUUCAAAACACUUAAAGUGUUCUUUUUAGAGUUCACUUGUUUUUUUAUUAAGGGUGAGUUCAAAAAAUAUUUUCAUCAACUACGAUUCAGCCAUUUCAAAAAUACUUCAAAACGAGCCAUAAAUUUUCCGACUUCAAACAACAUUACAAAUUAAGAAAGAAAAUUAAAAUGGUAAAACGAGAAAACGAGAAAAAUACAAAAUUUCUGUCCCGUUUUUAUGUUACAUUCAAUCUUUAAAACAAAUUACCAGUAACAUGCACCGCCAUUUUUGGGCUUCGUGAUAUGUAUAAGCUCUCUAGACUCUGUUCCUUCCAUCUCCCUUGUAUUUCUCUCCAUCACACCAUGAAAACCACUCACACAGUCCUACUCGCCAUCUUCUCCUUCGUUCUUCUGCACACUGUCACAUCUUCUUCCCCGCUGCAAACCCACCAGGAGCUGCUGCAGCUGCAAGUUCAUCCCAGACACAGAAACCAACCAAGAAGAUUACUGCUUGCUUCUGCAGUUGCUUCCUUCUCUGCAAAUCCAAAGAAUCCCAGCAGCAGCAAAGCAAUGGAAGAUCCCAAGAAAUAUGUGGAGGCUAGCUUAAGGAAGUCUCCACCCAGCAAAUCGAAUCCGACCCAGAAUCGGUAAACUGGUCGAUAUUCGUGUAGGGAUCCCAAAAUAGAAAGAGAAUGAAAUUCCACAAUUUUUGCAGAUUUUUCUCAAUUUUUUAACUGUUGUAGAGGUAGAAAGUCCAGAUCUUUAUUCAAUGUUUUUGUAUGUUCUUCUCUAUUCGUUUAUUUUGUUAGUUUUGUGCUAAUUUUUUUGGGUUGUUAGAGUUAGAUUUAGGAGGAGAUGGGAAGAAAUUGUAUGUACUGAAGAACCCUGUAAGGAUUUGUUAGAAAGAUUAUUGAUUUGUUCGAAUUUUUGCAAUUGCCAAAAUGGAAGUUUUCGCAUUUCAAUCCUUUUGCUACUGUUUUAUAUAGCCCAUGUAUGCAAUUGAUCUAACUUUAUUUUACUUCUUGCUGUUGCGAGUUCUCGAAAUGUAUCUAUUUGCCAUUUUCUGUGUCCGAGGGCAAAUAUGAGUUCUUUGUGUCUUUAGAGACGCUUAAUGCAGUGAGUUUGUUAUUAUCUUCCUUGAAAUCAUGGUUAUCUCCAAGAAAAGAAAUUCUGUAUGUUCACGUUUAUUGAUUGGAUCGGUUACUAGCACAAGUGCCUCCUGCUGAAUUUGUGUUUUGGAACUUUAGAGUAAAGGUUCAGGUAUAUGACUUGUAUUUUGUGAAAUGAUAAGGUACAUGGAAAACUGCUACACACUGGUUGCUAUUGCUGUGUUAUUUUUGUUGCAUUCGUUGAUGUUUUACAAAAUUCAUACAGGUAUGAUAAUGGAUCCUUUAAACCACUGGUAGAGUCAGAUUGAAUGACCAACAGUGGUUAGCAUUUGUAACUCAAUGAUUGUCCCGUUGCUUUCCUUAUAUUUUAUGCAGGGUUGAAGGUCGAAUUUGGAGUUUCGAGUUAUUGUGCAACUGACUUACAAACAUGGUAAAUAUUUUAACUAGUUUCUUAACCUAUGAAAUCUUUAAUGUUCUGCAAGUUCAGUCCUUGAGCACCCGUGCUUCAUUCGGUCUGGAAAAUGUCUCGAUAGGCCAUUAGCUCUAUGAAUUCACAUGGUAUUUCUUUUAGCAGCCUGCUAUUGUAGUUCAACUAUUGAGGUACUAUUGCUGGUAAGUCCAAGACAUGUUCUUUUAAAUAGCAUUGAAGAAUUUUCAGAAUUAAAUCUCUUUCUUUAAUUAAUUAUUAACUCAGUUUUUCACAGAAAAUAAAUUAUUGUAUGGUUACAGAUUUAGUGAAUACAUUUGUCACAGAUUACAUAAUUUUAAGCACAUAUUAUUGGUUGUAUCUCAAAAUUUUGAUGUCAAACAAAGAUCUUUCGUUCUAAUAUGAGGCCGGGAAGUGUGGUUUUAAUUUAGUUUUAACAAAUAAUGAUAUUUUUCAUGUUCUUACCUUUCUCGUUAAUCUGCUUGUUCAUUUGUAGUAUACUUUGUUUAUUGCUGAGUUAUUGCUGUCACCAAUUUUAAGAUUAAUGCUGUACUUGUUAGUGUGUUAAUUAUUUACGAAAUUUGAAAAUGUUACACCAGGUCCCAAACUCUUUAACAAUGAAAAGGGUUCUCUGAGUAAUACAAUGAUAAUGUGAGAAACACCGUCUAAUCUGGUCACCUCAUGUACACGGCGUCUAUAUGAAGCAUUUAACAAGCUGGAAAUAAAGAUAGUUCUACACGUGUAGUAAAUGCGUUUGAGUGAUGUACACGUAGUGAAUGAACAAGAAAAUCCGCCGGUUACAUUGAUUUUCACCAACUCUUCCUGAGGAUUAUAUACCCUUAAGAAACAAAUUUCCUCGUAGUAUUCGCCCUGUAGGAUUCCUCUGCAAACUUCACAGUCUUAGCUCCUUUUCCUUCUCCUUAGAAAUUCCCUACAUAAAGAUGAGAAUUCGAAAUAGCCGGUCAAAUUUUUCGCAGAUGACUCCACCUGAGACCACACCCGGGGCUGCUCAUCUUCGUUCACCAGAAGGUUCAGAUGAUCGCUUUUUAGUUGAAGAAGAGAAUCGGCGCAUUGGAUGGUCCUGCCAUACAAAAAAACAAUUUCCUGCUCAAGUUUCAAGUGAAGAUCAAUUGCAUGAUGAAUUGGAAGCAGCAAGCAGUACAGAAAUUAGGCCCUUGAACUGUGUUGAUAAGGGGAAAGAUGUGAAACAUUGCAUGCAAAUGGAUACAAAUCCGGUAAUUAGUCUUUUACUCAAAAUUUCAUUUUUCACUUUAGGAAUUUGCGAUUUGUUGAAUUUGCCCACGAUCAAUUUUGUUAUUGUUUAAUUUAGCGUGUUCUUGUCCAAGGUUCAUCGCAUCUGAAAAGUUAGGGCAACUAGUCAAGAUUUACUUAAUGUUUUAGAAGGUAUGAUUUUAAUGUUAUUUCAUAUUUAGGCCUCAGAGGGGCAGAGCGAAGGAGAAGCAGAAAAGGGGAAACAAUUUACUGCAUGUGCUGGUUCUCAGGGGUAACUUAUUUCUUGUCCUUUCUCAUCUCUCGAACCUGCCGAAAUGUUUAAUUGCCAUUUAUCUAUUCUAAUUUUGAAAUAUAGAUACUUAUCUAAUCUGCAAUUUUGAGAUAUGUGAUGAAUACAUAGUUACAUACACAUCCCUAUCCGCGUUCUCUUGUGAUAGGACAGAAUUUCCAGAUCUGUUUAUUUGUAAUUUAAAUAGUCAUAAAUUGAUAGUGAAAGUAAAAUUUUCCAUUCACUUACUGAUUUCUACAAAGAAGUUCAAUCUGAGAUCUAUAAAAUUGAAAUAACUGUCUUUUUGCUGCAGGGGUGGAGAAAACGUAACUUCUCCAGUUACAGCUGGGAUCGCUCGUCCUUGUUCUUUUUCGCAUCUAGGUAAACUACUUCUAUUAAAUUAGAUUCCUCAUGGAGACCAAGUCUUGAGGGUAACUUUUCAGUGAAUUUCUUGUUGGUUUAAGAGAUUUGAUGGUCAUAAUGGUCACAAUUAGUUCUUAUGAUUGGGUUGAAAGGAAUCCGAGUACUAGGGGUUCAUUGUGGAGUAAAUGAGUACAUGUCUUAUAAAGAGUCAUAUGAUGCUAUUAUAGGGGAAUGUAAUGAUAGCUAAAGCCAUCAUGUGUGUGUAAUUGCUCAGUGAACAUCAGUCAGCAUGUGAUGUAUUUCAGCUCAAUUGUUCUAGUUGCAUUUAUAGAUUAUAUAAGUAUCAAUCGAAGUACAUUAUGGCCUUUAGAGGUGACAUGUGCAAGGCACUAACAUAAAAGUGUCUUAGACUGAAGCUGCAUGUCGUUACAUGUCUUUUUCGCUCUAAGAUUUUCUUGUUUCAUUGGCAACUACGUGGAAAAUUUGUUGUUCUAACUUUUUAUUUUGAUUGGUGUUCUGAAUUAGGUCAGAAACUUCCGUUUAAGAAAAGAAGACCUUAUAGUUACACAGAGACUGAAGUAGAGAUGGAAAGAGAGAAAGUAGAAGAUGUCUAUCUAGAAGUAAAAGUGGAAGAUGUGGUAAUGGAAGCAAAAGAAAAAUGCAUGCCAGUAGAAAUUGAAAAAGAAAAUCAUUUUGCAGAAGUUAAAGAAGAUGAGCCAGUUAAAGCGGAAGCUGAAGAUGCAGUAGCUGAUAAGAAAGAGGAAUCACUGGAGGAGGGCGAGAUACGAGAAGAAACUGCGGAGGAGACAGAAAAAAUAAGUGAGCUUGAGCUGGUCAAUGAAGGGUUGUAUGUACCUCAUCUGACCAUUGAUGAGAACCAGCAGGACAUCAAAAAUGAAGAACUUAAUCUAGAAGAGACAGCAGGUGAACCAAAUGAGAAGCCAAGAAGGGGAAGGAAAACGCCUAGAUCUAGUGCUAGCACUAGCAGUGAUGAGCCUCAUCAGUAAGUAUCCCUGUAUGAAUACAAAAUACCCCUAUUUAUGCUUUCAAGUAUGAAAAAUGGUAUGACUUUCACUGCUAUGGAUGUUCUGUUUUUACCUUGAUGUUUCACAGAACUAAUGUUCUUGAACUUUGCUUUGAUGGAAUUGUAUGUAUGUAUAGAAUCACUACAUAAAGUUCUUCCAAUCCUUUAAUAUUCGAAAAAUGAAGGUUUUUUCAUUUUUUCUUUUUCUUUCUUGGCCAGAGAGAAAAGAGUCUGAAAAAGCACAUAUAUAUUAUCAUUUACGGUUUUAUGUACUGUAAUUCAUUUAGUUAAGGACAGUGUUGUUUUUUUUAUUCUACUGAGACAGAGUGAAUUUUGAAAGUCAAAGGCAACUGUAUAUAUUCAUGAGAUGUUCAAUUGCUCCUUCAUCUCCGUCCAUUUAAUUGUAUUUCUUCAUGAUACUCGCACGCUUUAUGUGUGAUGAGCAUGUUUGUGUAUGGUUUCCUAGUGGGUUUGGAGAAAAUUAACAAAUCUGACUAUGAAGUAUGAACACACAGGGGAAGGCAGAAGCUAAAGAGAGGAAGUCCAAAGAGGAUGCAAGAUCCAGCUGAGGAAAAUCAAGGGUUUCUUCACAUCCCUCCCUCCCCCUAUAUUCUCUCCCUCUCUCUCUCUCUCUCUCUCUCUCUCUCUCUCACGUGUGUGUGUGUUUGGACAUGGAUUUGUGAGAUGGACAUGUGUUUUGGAUACAUUUUUAUGUGUUGUGUGCAUGCAUAUAUCCUCUACCUGCGGACAUAAUCAACAACAAUACUUUCACUAUGAAGGUGUGUAGAGAAGCGGAAGCCAUUAAGAGGUUGCCCCAACAGGGGUAAAGAGGAAUCAUCUCUUUCAAACAAUAGGUACCCAAGAAGAGGUCGCUCCCAGAGGGACACAGAGGAGUCCUUUCCUUCAAACAAUAGGAAGCCAAGAAGGGGUCGCCCCAAGAGGAGCACAGAGGAAUCACCUCAUUCAAACAAUACGUACCCAAGAAGAGGUCGCUCCAAGAGGGACACAGAGGAGUCCUUUCCUUCAAACAGUAGGAAGCCAAGAAGGGGUCGCCCCAAGAGGAGUGCAGAGGAAUCACCUCAUUCAAACAGUGGGUACUCUCUAGAUACAGGGGAGUCAUCUCCUUCAAACAAUAGGAAGCCAAGAAGGGGUCGCCCCAAGAGGAGCACAGGGAAAUCACCUCAUUCAAACAAUAGGUACUCUUUCUCCCUCUCUCUCUCUCUCUCUCCCUCUCUCUCUCUCUCUGGGUUAGAAAUCUGUAACUAAAUAUUUAAUAAAACAGGAAUGCCGAAAUGCCAAAGCCUAAGAGGGGAAGGCCAAAGAGGGUGAAGGAGUAACCAGCCAGCCAGUUAAUGUAAAAACAUAGUGACUCCUUCGAAAUGUCUUAUAUCAUUGUAAGACUUUGGUAGAGUUUCUCUAUGUGUAAUAAAUAAGUCUGUAGUUUGCAAGUACAUUUAUUUGCCUUAGUCUUUUAGGAUUUAUGUUUGAUGAUCUAUAACAGAAAAGACCCAAGUGAAAGCUGAAAACUUUGUGUAGUGCCUAUUACCAAUGUGUCAAUGCAAUAUGCUAUUUUUAAUUAUCUUGCUACCCUUAUUAUAAAAGUAACAGAUAUCAUUGGUGGGAAUUUAUUGCAUCACCUUCAGUUUCAUCUUUGUUGUAGUUGACUGACUUUAUGCCUAACACAUUUUUCAGUUUCAUUUGUAUCCUGGUUACCUAUGAUACAUGGUAGGCAUUAGAUCAAAAAAAUGUUUUUGAGUAUAUCAGGAUAUUCAUAUAACAAAUAAAUUGAAAAUUGCUAUAUUAUUUAUAUCCUGAAUAUAUUCAAGAACAUUUUUUUUCCCAGAAAAUUACCGUCGAGUGAAUUAUUUAUGCAUCUACAUUUUUUCCAGCAAAAGCAUUAGUAAUUGACAAUUUGACAGGUCUUCUUUGUGUAAGCAAUCUCAUGUUUAUCUGUAUGGCCAAUUUAGGCAUCAAAAUUGUUUAGUUUUGGUGCAUUAAACUCUUCUAUGACUUGUCCUAUGUCUUCUGUGUAGAAAUUUUCAUCGAAACAGCCUGAUUUUCUUACAGGGAAGCUUACAUGCUAUCCUUAUUAGGUUACCUAAUAUGUAGAAUUGCCAUUUCAUAUGAAAUUUAUGACUUAUAUCUGCUAGGAUUUUCUUCUAUGUCUUCAAUGGAAAUUAGAUAUAUCAAAAUUUAAUGACAUCUAGUCUCACAUUUAACUUUUACUCUUUUACACUUUACGGGUUGAGAGGCACCGUGUAGCCUAGUAAGGUGAGAGGUUGUGUCAGGCCAUCCACCAGGUGUAAGCCAUGUAGAAAUUUUAGCUUAAAAUGCAGUUUACUGAGUAUAAAUUUCUGUUUCUUUCUGUCUUUAUGUGAGUUUCUAGGUCUUUCCCUUGUGCUCAUCUCUUGCUAGACAUUGAUUUUUCCUUCAGAUUCACUAGUUGAAACAACAAUCUUUUAGGAAUUGCGUUGUAUACAACGAGAUCACAUUGCCUCAGGUGUAUUUUCUUUGUUUUUAUCAUAUUUUUUCUUUGGUACUCUUGGAUAAUUUGAAAAUGAGAAUCAGGGGCAGACGGAUUGUCAAAACUCCUCCUCCUCCUCCUCCAACUAGCUCAGUUGGUUCAUCAGAAGAUCCCCCAGCACAGCAAGAUGAGCAAGAGGUAUUAUCGUUGCCCUUCAAUGGUGCUAUUUUUAUGUCCUACCAAAGAAAUCUGCAUGAUCAAUCAAUUAAAGAGGUAAAGAGGGGUUCAGAUGUGCGAAUCUGUUGCGAUUUUAAAUUCAGAUGUGCAAAUCUGUUAAGAUUUUAAGUUGUUUUUAUGUUAAUUGAAUAAACCAACCAUCAAUUCACAGGUAAAGAAGGAUUCAGGAUGUGAAAAUCCGUUGCAAUUUUAAGUUAGUUUUAUGUUAAUUGAAUAAAUCAAACAUUGAAUCACAGGUAAAGAGGGAUUCAGGAUGUGAAAAUCCGUUGCGAUUUUAAGUUAUUUUUAUGUUAAUUGAAUAAAUCAAACAUCGAAUCACAAGUAAAGAGGGAUUCAGGAUGUGCAAAUCCAUUUCGAUGUUAUGUUAUUUAUCAUUCUUGGGAAUCUCAGAUCUAGGUAUGACUCUUAAUCAAAGUCCUCUCAGUUUGUCGUUAUCAUGAUACAAAUUCUGCUCCACAAUCUCAGAUCGUGGUAUCCUUGCCUACAUCUUCAGAUCUAGGCAACACCAGUAGCCUCAUCAGUUUGUUGUUAUCAUGCACUAAUUCUGUUCAUUCUUUUUUAUAGGACACUGCAGGAGGUUUAACUGAAGAUGCUUAUAAGGAGAUCUCCGAUUCCUAUGUUACUCCAAGGUAAAUUAUUUUCUUAAUGUAAUUUUGUAGAUUCAUUGAGCAGGGCGACAUCCCCAUGACUUGUAGGCUUGAACUUGACAGUGAGACAGUGUCGUCAUCUUUCAUGUGUCCAUCUGAUUUAAUGAAGGGGGGUCAUCUCUACUCAACGUGUUACAUAAAUAUCAAAAUAAGGUUCCUGCGCACUCAUGCAGUACGCGCGUAAAAUUUAAAUUGUAUAGUAGUAACUUGAAACUGAUACUUCGAAGGACACUAUUUAUUUUAUCAUGAUUGUGAGGACAUUUGGAUGACUGUUUACACAUAUUGUUUACUUCAAGCGUUGUUAAAUGAAUUUCCUUUUUGGUGAUCAUACAGGAAGGGGAAAGUCUCGAAUGCAGUUGUACCUGCCCAACAGAUUGUAAUUGUAAUAUCUUCUGAUGAGGGUACGCCUUUUUUCGCUUUCUUUAAAGAGUUCAAGUAACGGUUAUCUGCAAAAUUAAUAAAUUUUGUAUCAAGCACUAAUUUAGAUAUAGAGAAUACGCUUUUGGAAACAUCUUUGUACAAAAUUCGUACACAGAGAGGAUCAGUGACUGCUAAACUAGGUGGACUUGUCUGCGUCAUUUAAUGGCAUUAUAAAGAUGCUAGUAAUAUGGUAAUUCUACAGAGAAAAGAAGUUCUUCAGAUUAUCGAAAACCGAUUUUUUUUUCUUUCUAAAACCCUUCAAAGCAUCAGUUAGCUCCUCAAAGAGUAGCCUACCCACUAUUAGUAUUAUUUUUAGCCUUCCCUUUAGGAUAUUCACAAAAUGCAACAGCCAAAAAGAAAGCGAUGUCGUUGGGUAACUUCCAUAGCCCUCCAUGACCCAGUGGAUAUUUGUUACAAUGGUGAUUUGCAAAUCAGGUUAGAUACAGAUCCCCUUGGCUCCCCAAAGUAGAAAAGAAGCAUGGAAACAAGGGUCACAUAUGAUAUCUUAUUCAAUGGAUAAACUUUGUCAAGAAAACACAUUUUAUUGAUGUUUAAGUCUUUUCCCAAUGUAUCGUUUCUGUUCUAAUAACUUCUGCAGAUUGUUUUGUUGAUGUACUUUGCUUAGUCUUGAGGAGGAAGUAUUUUGGUCUUGGCUUGCCUUGUACUUCAUGACGUUCACAUAUUAUAAUACCAUCUCACCAUUUUCACUCUAUGGAAAUGAUUUUGUUGAUAAAAUACGCAUAUUACCAUACUUUUUAGUGUCUUUCUCUUUGCUAGUAAUCUUCUCCUUGAGUUUUGUUCUUGCUUUAUUAUGCAUCAUCUACUUGAAACUUAUUUAAGAAGUAAAUACUAGAUUGUGAUCUCAAAGGCCGCAAGAUAUGAAAUUGCAAGAAAAUUAGCCGAGUGUUUGUUGUUGUUAUUAGGUUAUGUUUUGUCAAAUGCCGUUUCUUAUUGGAUUCUUAACAUGGAAAAGCAGAUGAACCUGCACUGAGAAGCAAGAAGGUAGACCCGGAUGAAGUCACCAGCAAAAGGAUCCGUAGGAGAAUAGACAGCAGGGAUGUCAAUAUGAGAAGAUCUAACUGCACACGUAAUGAGAUGACUCAGGUCGGACAUGCACGUGUACGCGCCUCAGGUGUGGCAAGGGCUAGGGGCAUGCACAGCAUUGUGCACAACCUAAUGCCUUCUCGUCCCAAAACUGAAGAGGAGCUCGUUAAGAACGUUUAUGGUGAGGCAAAGGCGGCACAAAGGAAAAGGGUCAGGCUUCUAAGAGAAUUCUAUGGUGUUUAGAAAAGCUCGAGGCGGCGAGGAACCUCACUUGGACUAAAGCAAUGGCUUUCUGAGUCGCAUGUUUUUCCGUUUCCUAGUGUCGUUGUUUUCGUCCGAGUUUGUUAAGGAAAUUUGGUUUGUUGGACUAAACGCCAAUGCUUUUCGGAGUUGCAUGUUUUUUUUUCGGUUUUGUAGUGUCAUCGUUUGUCUGAGAUUUGUCAAGGAAUUCUGGAUUGUUGGAUUAAAAUUUUUCUAUUCUGAUUUGGACUUGAAUUUCAUUCUAGUUAUCUUAUAGACAGGGGAUGCUAUGAUUCUAUAUGAACGAGUGUUCGACCUCGAGUGAUCUCCACAUGACUUGGAGUUUACUCUACCUUUGCCUCAGCUCCUACUUUCUCUGUAGUAUUGAAAACGGAUCGAGCUGAGGCAAGGGUUCAUAAUCUAAUGAGCCCACGAGUCCAUUUGGUCGCGGCAGCCAAUAUCCAAGCGGCUCGCCUUAAGAUGAAUGGGUGACCCGACUUGAAGGGAUGAAAUCGUAAAAAUACUAUGUGGACUCAACUAGUUAUGAUAAAGGAGAAGUAAUAGGUCGGUAAUACAAAUCAAUAAGAAGUCUUACACAAUAUGAUUACAAUUCUAAUAGAUAAUAUCUAAAGAAUGAUAUGGUAGAAUCUCACAAGAUAUCUCAAUAUUUAAUAGAAUUUACACGAUCACAUUCCUAGACCAUCGGAAGUUGUAUUUGAUGAGAAUCAAAACUAAGACCUCUCACUUACAAGUGAAGAAGAAUACCACUAAACCGUAGUACUAAGUGGUAAUAUUAUUAAAAAACUUAACACACUAAAAACACAAAAAAAAACUGCACUCAAUUUCUUGACAAAAUUUAGAAACCUUUGGAGAUUAUUGGCUGCCUGACCUCCUAAGUGGAAGAUUUAGGACGUCCUUUUCGUACCAUUAAUCUUGAGGGUGUUGACAAAUUGUCCAAUGUAGUGUUGGUGCAGUUUGUGAUCUCCAAAAACAGCUGCAGCUUUCCUUGCAUUGGAUCUCAGCUUCUCUCCUUGCUCUUCCACCAUUGCAUGCCUCAGUGUUUUGGCUAUGUCAUCUCUAGUAAACGACCCAUCUCCACGUCGACUCCCUUCGACAGCCACACCCUUCUCCUCCAAAAGCCUUGCAUUCAGAGGUUGAUCAAUGAUGAAUGGUAGCACAACAAGAACAUGCCCAAAUUGAAGUGUCUCAAUCACAGAUCCCCAUCCAGCGUGAAACAAAGAACCCCCAACUGAUGGGUGUGCCAAGAUUUCCAUCUGGGGCACCCACCCCAAGCAAACAAGCCCUUUCUCUGAUGUACGCUCAACAAACCCUAGAGGCAGAGCGUCGGCAUCACUAUUUGCCCAUUUGGGUUUUCUGAGUGCCCAAAGAAAAGGGAGUCCUGAUAGCUCCAGCCCAUGAGCUAUCUCAAACACUCGCUCUUUACUCAACUUACACUCACUCCCAAACCCUACAAACACAACUGACCUGGUUUCUUGCGUAUCAAGCCAUUCGAAGAUCGCAUCGUCAGUGGAAAUUUCCCUUUUUACCCCCUUUGAAGGUAUCUCAGGAGGCAGCAGACCAGUGGGAAUCACAAGCUUCUCAGUUUUGUUCUUGUAUGCCUCAAAGUACUCUCCUUCAAACUCAUUGCAACUCCGAAUGGCUACAGCUCGACAAGCUGAUAGAAUCUUGGCGUACCUUUCGCCGUCACUUAUCCCUGAACCAUUCACUCCAUAUAGUGCCGCGUGAAAAUGGACCGCCUCGUGCUCUCGGUAUGCGACAGUUGACCGAGAAGUGACCAAAUCUGGCGGCGAAGUAAGGGUUUCCAGCGGCGGGAGAACAUCAUUUGUUUUACCAAUGAAGAAAUUUUCAACUGAACGAAAAAGGGCAAUUGAAGCAGCAGAGAAAACAGAAAAAUAGACAAGUGGAACGCCGUACUCUUUGCCAAUCUCCACAACCCAAUGAGCAGCAAAGUCGGUUAUGAUCCAAUCAGGCAAUCGAUCCCCGAUGAACUGCUUGAUGGGUUUUUGCAGGAGGUCGUAUGCAAUCUUCAAGUUGUCAGUGUUUUCAAAGGGGAGGUCAACCGAGGCCUCAGCUCCUUCCGGCAAAAAGUCGGGAUCCAACGGUGGAAAUGGAACGGGGACCAAUUGCACAAAGGGUUGUAACUCUGGUAAGAUUUUGGGGAGUCUUUGGAUGUUUUUUGGUGUGGAUAUGAAGGAGACAUGAACUUUUUCUUUUGCUAAAGCUAUUGAAAGUUGGAAAAAAGGCAUCAUGUGGCCAAAGGCAGACCAUGGGAGCAUCACAACACUCAGAUGAUCAUCUUUUUCCAUAAUUUCUUUAUGGGGGAUGGAAUUUGCAAUGAGAGAAAUAACUUGUAGUUUUGAACCAGGUUGUCGGUGUAUUAGACUAUAUGACCUUCUGUAGCUUUGGGGAUUGUGCUACUCCUCCUCCUCCUGCCACAUGCUCGUGUAAGGUGUCCCGGGCAGCCAGCAUCGCCUGUUGAAUUGUUGGCAGCUCUCUCGCGUCGUUUUUGAUAAUCAUUUUAUUUUCAUUUUUUUAAAUUAAAAUUAAAAUCCUGUUUGGUAACUACUUUCAAAUGAAAACUGAAAACUUCCUUGAGUUUUUAAGAUUUUGCCUUGAGUUUUUACUUUCAAUUUUCAUCUUUUGAAAAUUGAAAGUUAAAAGUAACUACCAAACAAAGAUUCCAUGUUUUGAAAAUUGAAAACGAGUGGCUAUCAAACGGCCCCUCUUUUCUGAAACAAUCCUCACAUUGAAAAACGGCCCCUGUUUUUGCACUUUCACUAGUCUCUAUCACUUGAAGACUCGUGGUUUUUGUUUGAUCAUGGAGGUCUGUUUUCCAUCUUUUCCCCACUUAUGUCGCACUAAGAACAAGUUUGACAGCAUCUAGUUUCCAGCUGUAUCCGUCCUCUUCUUUGCAUUCACUUUUCACAUUUUCCAGCUACGAUGGAGGUUAAAGUGAAGACGUACGAGAUUCAAGCUCUAAUCUCGGAUGCAGAGGAAAAUUCUUCCAGCAACCCGAACUUGAAGUCUUUAUUUUCAUGCUCAUGAAGUACUUAGAAAGCUGACUUUAAGAAAAGACACGGAGUACUUGGAGUUAACGGAUGCCUUGGCACAAAACCGAGCACAGCAACAUUGUAGGAUUCAUACUACUGUUUCCAUGUAUUGUAAUAAGACUUUGUUGUUGCUGUAUUUUGCUUCUUGCCUUUUGUUCAUGUACCUUUCUGUAUGUUUCUUUUUGAGCCCUAUUGUUGAAUUUUGACUGUUAGACUUGAAUGGUUAGUAGGUGACACGCCCGACCCCGAUAUCCUCCAAACACUAGGGUAGGCACGUGCUGGCCGACACCCGAAGAUGACGAAGCCAUACUAACAUGCAUGAGAAGUAACAAACAUAAUUAAAACUUAUAAAUUUAAAUACAAUGAUUAUGCAAUUAUGGAAUGUGUUCAAAGCAUACAAUUAAUCCGAGACACUAGAAAUGAAUAAUAUAAAAUUGAACGAACAAAGGGAUGGGUCCUACACCUAGAGGACUCGAAGAUGCUGAUGUGAGAGUACCUUAAUACCGAGAUUGUACGCCUCGAUUCUAAGUCAUGAGAGGGCGCAAAACAAAACAUGAGUGAGCCAAGUUGAUAUAUAAGUAAUACUAAAACAGUUAAUCUUUAACGUACUAACCCCCAGGUUUAGAAAACUCAUAUAGCAUAAUAAGUAAUAGGUUUUUCCGAAAACCCUAGCAUGCCAUAAAACCUUCAUAAAACAUAUAUCGUAUAUAGUGUGCUUAGUGGCAUCAUAAUCGUCCGAAGGCACUACAUCGCCCACCCGAAGACAAUAUAUAAAUCUUCCGCCGAUAAACACUACAUCUCCCGCCCGAAGGCAAUAUAUAAAUAUGAAUAUCCAUUAAGUAAGCACAAAAAUCAUAAACAUAAUCUUUCCAAAAUAUAUCUCAAAUCGGAGCUCACUAACUAAAACGCCAUAUCGUAAAACCACGUUCCUAAGUAGGUAUAUAGUCAUCAAUCAUGUAUACCACAGAGCAUAAAAUCGAUAAAGCAUGAUAAUUCAUAAAGCGUGAAACAAAUUUACUCAAAAACGUUUCAUAAAAAAUAGUCAUAAAAUCAUGUUUUUCAUGUAUGCAUUUCUAAUAGUAAAAUCAUGCAUUUUAGAAGAGUUCCACCCACCUUACACCGUUGGCGAAGAGCCGUGCAAUUAAGGGUGGAUGGAAACGCCACUAACAAACGCACAUAAGCAAAUAAAGGUACCAAUUAAUAAAACUAUACUAAAACGGUUGAAUUUCAGGAAACGGACAUCAUAAACGGAUUUAGGACGUCAAAAAAUAUAAGGGGGGACCUCGGGUACCCUCAUGCGCCGCCGCCACCGGACGGCCACACGCAGAGUUGGGUCGCCGGAAAAGUCACCGGCAGUCAUUCAAAAUUUACCAGUCACAAUAAGAGCUUAACUAUACCUUGAUUAUAGUCAUCAAUCCAGCCAAAACACCUAUGCCAUCACUUUUCAGGCCCAGAUUCUGCACUAUACUAUAACCAUGUGUUGUAAGUAUUGUGUGUAGAUAUGUAGAAUCUAAUUACAUAAAAUAUGUAGAAUCUAAUUACAUAACAUAUGUAGAAUCUCCACAUCAGUGUUUUCUAAGAAUUUGAAAGUGCAACAAUAAGAAAAGACAUACUUGUUUGUACAAAUAACACGAAGGGAAAAAAAAAGGGAGAAACAAACGAAGUUGGAAGGGUAAAAACAACAUCAUAAGCAUUUAACCCUUUAUCAUCUCGAUAAGCACCUUUAGCAUACAACGUUACUACAGCUUGAAUUUGAAUGAAGACCCCAACAAAAUUGUAUUUCUAAAACCUGGUCUCAACCUGAAAUGUCAAACAACACCAAAUCAUGAGCCAACAAUGCCACAAUUCACAAUAUUUAUUAUGGUCCAGAAUGAUUACCAAAACAAAAAACAAACCAUUUUUUCACGGUUCUUGGAAGGAUUAAGAGGCGGGUCUGUGAGUGAAAUCUGACACUCAGUAGGAUGUAUCUGUUGACACAAAGUACACAACAGAGUAUUGUUAUGAAACUAUAUAUAACAUCGAAAUUCACAAUCAAGGCCAACAAGGGUUUACCUUUACCUCACUGUAAAAUGCAAGUAUAACCGAAGGAAACAAAAUAUAGGAAACUUUACUAAAAAACUUCUAGUACUGUACAUUUUAAUGAAAAAUCACAUUUUUAUACUAAAAAGUCAAUCUUGAUGCUAUUUACUUUACCCUUAAAACUUAAAGUUUUCAAGUUAUUUUCAUUAGUUUUCCUUAAAAUAUAUGGAUAUGUAGACAAAGUUUUCCCUUGUGCCUGUUUCCACCUACUUGGAAAAUACUGCAGAAGCUGUAAUUCAUAAAAUUCAUAAGAUAAUACUCAGAAAUCAAAUACAAAAUAUCAUCUCUUUGAGGUUAUUUCUCCUAGUAAUACAAUAAAUACAAAACCCUGUACCGAUCAAACAAAUAAAAAUUAAAAAUAAAAUGAAAAACCAAAAGUGUGUACCUCGGGAUUAAAUCGGUGGGGGUUUGGAGAGGAUAGAUAGUUAGAUGGGAGGAACUCGUGACAGGAGGCACGGCUGGCAGUGGCCGCGGCGGAGAGAGAGAGAGUAGACGAUUACAAAGAAGGGUGCGAUGUGUGGAUGGUUUUGCUUUGCUUUCUUUCUUAAAGAGAGAGAGAGAGAGAGAGCGCUGAUUGAGGUAGUAAUUAGAAGAAAAGUAAAUAUUUUUAUGGUUAAACAUGUGAUUUAUAACUUACUCCUUAAUAGUUAUCUUGCACCAGAGAAUUUCUGUCUCAAUUCGUACACAAAAGUAUUUAUUCGUCUUCUGGGCACGGAGCUUUAACUGAACACUAAAAAGAGAGGUGGUUUGGAAGUUGUCAGGUACCAUGAAAGAUUCACCUUUGCUUGCAUAUUCUGAACAAUUUGUACUCUCAGCUCCACCAUCCAGUUUCCUGUUA
This 63774-nucleotide long non-coding RNA is filed under the name Malus domestica (apple). RNAcentral describes it as "long non-coding RNA (MDOM_LNC002305)". Lineage: Eukaryota; Viridiplantae; Streptophyta; Magnoliopsida; Rosales; Rosaceae. The record is from RNAcentral.